ACGGUUAGAUUUCGGCUAAACUUGACUAGAACAGUCGGACGAAACAAGCUAGAGUUGGAAUCUGAUAAUGCCAAGCUGGUUUCGGCCUUUCAAGCGGUGAUGGGACCUAUUUUUUUUCGAAACGGAGGCAAAAGUUUUGCCUCGUCUAUUAAUUAAGAAAAAGUGAGUCGGCUGGUUAAUUAACAUGAAGCCAGGCUAAAGCCAUCACAACCGUUGAGCGGCACACACAAGAUACCCCACACAUGCCACUCCAAAGGGUGCCUCAUCGAGACAGCACACGCGCAUCAUCGUCAUCAUUCCUCCCCUAGAGGCGUCAUCGUCAACCCUAAACCCUGAGCAAACGAAUCCAAUUUGCUGUAGGCGAUCGUCGACUCAACCCACACUGUAGAGGGCGAGUGAAGUUCUAUGAAGAUCCGCGCCAAACUCAGUCACCUACGAUCAAACAAACGUAGCUCCGACUCUGACGGAGAACAACGAAUGGCAAAACCAAGCACGACUACCCCCACGGAAGAUCACCCAAUGGUCCACCUGCACCAUUCAUCAUAUACCAUAGGGCCCCGCCGCCGCAGCUUCAACUUUACAACAACAAAACAAACCGAGGAAAUCCCGUGGACACGACGAAGAAGAGCCGACUACCACAACUAUUGUCGCGCUGCCGAUGUCGCUCCCACCAUCAUCAUUGCCACAGAAAUCUGAACCCCAAAACCACCGCCAUCCACUGGCCCCACUCACCGAUGCCGAGCUCCAAAGAUGAAGCCCCCAAGAGGGAAUACGACACCAAGGCGUCGCCAUCGUUCAAUCACACAAGAUCAAAGGUUGCGAACACUGAAAUCCCGUUUUGGUCCCCACACAUCCCUCUACAAAAGUUUACAUAUUUUGAUGCAGAUUAAAGGUGAAGAUUAUAAGUUACCCCUUCAAUAAAAAAAUGUUUUGAUCUCUUAUUCAGUCCAUUGGGAGAACGAGGAUCAAUGAGAAGGGGUUGUUGGUGCUAUAAUCUGUGACCAUUGAGAAGAUGAGCUUCUGUUUCGAUGCUUUUACCGCAAAGGCGACAACUGUUAGAUUUCGGCUAAACUUGUCUAGAACAGUCCGAUAUGACAAGGUAGAGCUGGAAUCUGAUAACGCCGAGGUGGUUUCGGUCUUGCAAGAGGGAAGAUUGAGUUCAGUGACGCGACCUAUCUUUGAUGAUUCCUACUACAUGAUUCAGGACUUUAAGCAUGUUUUUGUUCACUCGUUGUGACAGGAAGAGUAAUCAAGUUGCCCAUGAAAUAACGAAGUUAGGUGGAUUUUCUAUCCCCGGUACCUGGAUGGAGUCACCUCUAGUUGAGGUGGUCUCGUUUAUUAUAUUUGAUACGCUGGUUCUCACAAAUAAUUAAAUAAAAUAUCAUUUGUCAGAAAAAGAAUUAAAAUUAGUUGAUUGUGAGUGUCCGAGAAUACCCUUUUAAAUAAUUUUAAGAUUCGUGUAAACUUUUCAGGUGGUGUACCGAAGCAAAACGAGUGAAAGGCAAGAAACCACCACAUUUGCGCCAUCACUAGCAGGAAAGAUGUUUUGUAAGGGAUUUUGUAGAAACAAUCGUGUGCAGACGUUGAUCGCUCGUUUUGGCUCCGUUAAUCCCUAAACUGACAGACCGGGCCCGCUUGCAGAUGUUGACGUGGCAAAACAUAUCAAUUGCAUACAGAUCAAGAGUUUGAAUAACCUAGCCCCUGCGUCGCCCCUCCCGCGGGCGACUCGGGCGGCGCCGCCACCUCCUACCGCUCGCCCUCCCCCUCCUCCCCUUCCCCGCCACCGCCGGCCAAAGCCGCCGGGGCAAAGCCCCCCGCGGUGGCUGGCAGCGGGGGCCUUCUCCCCUCCUCGCGUCCAUGGCCUGCGGGGGCGGCCAGGCCGGGCGAAGGCGCCGGGGCGCGUGGAUCCUGGCGGCGCGCGGCGACGAUCUUGACGGAUGCGGGCCCGAUGGCACGGUUGCAGAUGGGUCGACGUCUUGCUGUGUGGCGGCUGCGUGCGGGUCUCCUCGUGGCGGCGACCUUCGCUGGCGGCGGGGCGACACGUGCGCGGCAUCCGGCGAGGGGUAGGCACGCGGCCACGGUGGCUUCCCGUGCGACCGGAGGUACGCGGAGAAGAGGUUGCGGCGUGUGCCCUCGGGGAGGAUGGAUAUUCUCGCCCAGAUCCGGCGGCGGCAUGGCGGCGGAGGUCGCAGUGGCCGGUCGGCGGUGGCGGAACAAGGCCGGUGGCAGCGAGAAUGUUCUGUCUGGAUCCCGGGGCGGCGACCCUUUUCUAAUGUCAAGUAUCAUUUCCUUAGACCAUGAGAUUGUGCAACUCCCGGAUACCGUAGGAAUACUUUGGGUGUGCCAAACGUCACAACGUAACUGGGUGGCUAUAAAGGUGCACUACGGGUAUCUCCGAAAGUGUCUGUUGGGUUGGCACGAAUCAAGACUGGGAUUUGUCACUCCGUGUGACGGAGAGGUAUCUCUGGGCCCACUCGGUAGGACUGAAGGAAAUAUGCCCUAGAGGCAAUAAUAAAGUUAUUAUUUAUUUCCUUAUAUCAUGAUAAAUGUUUAUUAUUCAUGCUAGAAUUGUAUUAACCGGAAACAUAAUACAUGUGUGAAUACAUAGACAACAAAGUGUCACUAGUAUGUCUCUACUUGACUAGCUCGUUAAUCAAAGAUGGUUAUGUUUCCUAACCAUAAACAAGUAGUUGUUAUUUGAUUAACGGGAUCACAUCAUUAAGUGAAUGAUCUGAUUGACAUGACCCAUUUCACUAGCUUAGCACCCGAUCGUUUAGUAUGUUGCUAUUGCUUUCUUCAUGACUUAUACAUGUUCCUAUGACUAUGAGAUUAUGCAACUCCCAUUUACCAGAGGAACACUUUGUGUGCUACCAAACGUCACAACGUAACUGGGUGAUUAUAAAGGAGCUCUACAGGUGUCUCCAAAGGUACAUGUUGGGUUGGCGUAUUUCGAGAUUAGGAUUUGUCACUCCGAUUGUCGGAGAGGUAUCUCUGGGCCCUCUCGGUAAUGCACAUCACUUAAGCCUUGCAAGCACUGCAACCAAUGAGUUAGUUGCGGGAUGAUGUAUUACAGAACGAGUAAAGAGACUUGCCGGUAACGAGAUUGAACUAGGUAUUUGGAAUACCGACGAUCGAAUCUCGGGCAAGUAACACAUCGAUGACAAAGGGAACAACGUAUGUUGUUAUGCGGUCUGACCGAUAAAGAUCUUCGUAGAAUAUGUAGGAGCCAAUAUGAGCAUCCAGGUUCCGCUAUUGGUUAUUGACCGGAGACAUGUCUCGGUCAUGUCUACAUUGUUCUCGAACCCGUAGGGUCCGCACGCUUAAGGUUACGAUGACAGUUAUAUUAUGAGUUUAUACAUUUUGAUGUACCGAAGUUUGUUCGGAGUCCCGGAUGUGAUCACGGACAUGACGAGGAGUCUCGAAAUGGUCGAGACAUAAAGAUUGAUAUAUUGGAAGCCUAUGUUUGGAUACCGGAAGUGUUCCGGGUGAAAUCGGGAUUUUACCGGAGUACCGGGAGGUUACCGGAACCCCUCGGGAGCUAAAUGGGCCAUGAUGGGCCUUAGUGGAAAAGAGAAGAGGCAGCCCUACAUGGGCCGCGCGCCCCUCCCCUCCCUUGGUCCGAAUAGGACAAGGAGAGGGGGCCGGUCCCUCUCUCUCUUUUCCCCCCUCCGCGACUCCUAUUCCAACUAGGAUUGGGGGGGGGGGAUCCUACUCCCAGAGGGAGUAGGACUCUCCUGGCGCGCCCUCCUUGGCCGUCCGCCUUCCCCCCUUUAGUCCUUUAUAUACGGAGGCAGGGGCACCCUAGAUACACACAAGUUGAUCCACGUGAUCUAUUCCUUAGCCGUGUGCGGUGCCCCAGCCACCAUAGUCCUCGAUAAUAUUGUAGCGGUGCUUAGGCGAAGCCCUGCAGCAGUAGUACGUCAAGAUCGUCACCACGCCGUCGUGCUAACAGAACUCUUCCCCGACACUUUGCUGGAUCGGAGUCCGGGGAUCGUCAUCGAGCUGAACGUGUGCUAGAACUCGGAGGUGAUGUAGUUUCGGUGCUUGAUCGGUCGGAUCGUGGAGACGUACGACUACAUCAACCAAACGCUUCCGUUGUCGAUCUACUAGGUAUGUAGAUCAUACUCCCCCUCUCGUUGCUAUGCAUCAUCAUGAUCUUGUGUGUGCGUAGGAAUUUUUUUGAAAUUACUACGAAACCCAACAAGGACAUCAUCAUAAUGUGCACAAUGUGAUCAAGGAGUUGAUCAUGGGAUGAUGUGUUAUGGAACGAGUAAAGAGACGAUGAUGGAGAUCAUGAUGAUGGAGAUCAUGGUGUCAUGCCGGUGACGAUGAUGAUCAUGGAGCCCCGAAGAUGGAGAUCAAAAGGAGCAAAGUGAUGAUGGCCAUAUCAUGUCACUAUUUGAUUGCAUGUGAUGUUUAUCAUGUUUUUACAUCUUAUUUGCUUAGAACGACGGUAGUAAAUAAGAUGAUCCCUCAUUAAAAUUUUAAGAAAGUGUUCCCCCUAACUGUGCACCGUUGCGAAAGUUCGUCAUUUCGAAGCACCUCGUGAUGAUCGGGUGUGAUAGAUUCUUACGUUCACAUACAACGGGUGUAAGCCAGAUUUACACACGCGAAACACUUAGGUUGACUUGACGAGCCUAGCAUGUACAGACAUGGCCUCGAAACACAAGAGACCCAAGGUUGAACCCAAACCCGAGACUAAGUGCUUCUGUAAUAAGGGGAACAACAACUGGAGCAGAAUUACCCUAGAUACUUGGUAGAUGAGAAGGCUGGCAAGGUCGAUAGAAGUAUAUUGGAUAUACAUUGUGUUAAUGUGUACUUUACUAGUACUCCUAGUAGACUGAAACCCAUAGGCUGCACGCUAUUGCACCAUUGUCAAGCCAAGCAGUUCUCUGCUGAAUCUUCUGUUCUUUGCCUCUUCUGUGGCCGCUUAUCAUCUAAGCCUAGGCGCUGAUCCACCUUCACUGAAUAGGAUAGAACCCUCAAUUUUAAAAUCCAGACAUUCUUAUUGGACUGCUCAAGUUAGCACCAAAGAUACAGAAUGAGUUCAAAAGAUUCUGUGGAUCGAAUUCUUUUGUCAUUCCCAGGGAAGUUGCUCUGCUCACACACACAAACAAAAAAAAAUUGAAUAUCCAUGAAAAUUGAUCAAAUUAAGCAGAAAAAAGAGUUAGAAAGUGGAAAUAUUUCUUACCCAAGGAGGGAAUCCAAAUAUUCAGCUACAGCAGAGAGUACUUGCGGACAUAUGUUGUGCUUCUUGGCAAGAGAUAGGCAAAGAGUUCAUUCUGAAUUUUACCCACGAAAACCAGCAGUACUUUUAUUUUUCCUAGGAAUAGAAAGAAUUUGGUGAAGCUUGUUUUGUUCUAGGUGUAUAAACAUCAAACUACUUUUGUUAUUUUAAAUCGAACUUCUUUGUUUUAUUUUUUAGUAAUGGAAGAAAUUCGAGUUACGCUAUAAACAUUGAACCUCUUCGUUUUUUAUUUUGAACUUCCGGGUUUCUUUAGAAAAGGGGAAAACCUGGGGUUUCCAUUAACAUCGAGCUACUUUUUUUAUUUGGACUUCUUGGAUUUAUUCUUUUGUAGCGGGAAAAUUUUGAGUUUGAUAGCAAAACAUCGAUCUGGUCCGUUUUUCUUAUAUGGACUUCUAGUUUUUUAGAAACAAGGGAAAUCUGUUUUCUACUUAAACUUUUCUGAACUAUUUUUGUUAUUUUAAUUUGACCUUCCACUGUGAGAUAUUUUGAUGGUGUGUUCCUCUUUUAUUCGAACGUGUUGCAAUGAACAUUUUUAGGUUUCAUUUUAUUACUUUCCCUCAUCCGAACUUGUGGUGUUGGCACACGAGCACACACAAAACACAUUUUUCGCAUGUGAUUUUUGCAUACUACAUUUGUUUUAUAAGAUAUUCUGCAUACUAACAUUUUUCUUGUGGUCGAGGUACUAAGGUAUUAAGACAAGCACCUUGUGUGCUACGGAGGACAUGCAUGCACAAGGCACAUGAAUCAGAAUAGUAUUAAAACAUUUUGUUUGCAAAUCAAGCGAAAAAAUAAACUGUGGAUACAUGAAGCCAUGCGUCCAAUACCCACAAUGAAAUAAUAAUGAGUACAAAGUAAUUCCACAAAUGUGCACAAUAGCAUGGACCCCAUGGAUUAUGUUCAGUGGUAGCUCCCUCUGAAGAAUGCAUAACAAAAAUUAUAAUGCAGAACAACAGUGGUUAAGCAAUAAAGAUUCAAGCCUUUUCAAUUAUUGCAAUGUACAUGUUCAGAGAUUUUUCACUAGCAAUUAUUCUAGUGUGCUGCCAUCUGAAACUUUGGCUCUAGUUGUAAACACACGCUUCAGACUUCAUAGACCAACAACUAACUAAUGGGAGCGAUCAAAGUUUCAGGUACUGUAUAGAAAAAACGCACCAAAUGGAGGGAUAUGCAAUGCAAGGACUCACACAUUCACACUAGGAGUUUUACUGUCGCAAACCCAGCCAGCAAACGUGAGUACAUUUGAACCCACGCUGAGAUCUUAACUGAACUUUUUGGCCAGUGAGACUUGGACGUCUCAGAGAAACUACUAGAUGAACUUUGAUCAGUGUCAAAAACCACACGUAGCACGCACACAUCUCGCCAGGAGGCCUACGGCCGCGUCACAAGGCAGGUUGAGCUACAGCUGCGGCCUGUAAGGAGCCAUGGCUGUGACAACUCUGGUUGUGACAGGGAUGAGCAAGAUGCUGGGAUCCAGCUUACCUCGCGCGGUACUGGUGAACGGCGGCAACUGGAAUCGUUGGACUGCAGCGGCGGGGUGGAGCUGGAGGAUGUGGCCAUGGCAGCACACUAGAAAAAUACACAAGUACCCGAAACAGGUACGUUCCAAGGAAAAGCCUCAACAGUAGUAGCACUAGGCACUAGCAAUCACACAGGCUACCUACGGAUGCACACCGAGCCGCUACAUGCACGCACACCACUCGCAUACACAAGUACACAACACAGGAAACAAACGGCGUGCCAGCACGCAUGCACACGGCCACGCUCACCGCCUCCGCACGCAGCAUCACACACGCACACCAUUGGGCAGGUGCUAAGUGCUAGAGAAGGGGCGACCUCAGGGACGAUGAGGCACUGGUGGGAGGACGACCUGGGAACAUGGUCGAUGAUCGGCGACAGGCGCUCAUACGAAGUAUUCCUUCCAGGCGUGGAUACGUCGUACUGCUGUCGGUUAUUUUGUUGAACUGAUACAGGAGAACUCCAGCAAAUAUUUUUUGGAAAUAUACUGAAGAAACGCUACAGUUUUUGGCUGCAAGAAGUGUUGUUGUCCUUACUGACGACGCAUCCCCGGAUGGAUCGUUGGAGGACAGAACGAGAGGGAGAGGCCGUUGUCCGCGUCGGCGACGUGCUGUGCUCGGGGACGGAGUAGAUCACCAGAUCAGCAGCACCUCCCACGUGCUAGCGCUCUGUUGGAUUCGUGGCCUCCCAUUGUCCUCGACGCAGUAGGUAGCCAAGGGCGACGACGUCGGUGAGAUGUCCUUCGCUUUUGAGCAGUUCGUCGGGGGAUGGGGCUGAAUUGGUGGCCGGACGCGUGGAUCUUGCCAGCUGGCCAGGGGUCGAACUGACGCGGCUGGCCAGGCUGAACUUCACAGGAGCCUACCUCCGCGGAUGAGAGGGCGGGAUGGAGGACGCCACCAUAGAUGCACUGUGCUCGGGGGAUGGAGGAGGAACGAGAGGGAGGAGGCCGUUGUCCGCGUCGCGCUUGGGGGCGGAGGCUCGCCGGAGCAGCAUCGCCGUGAGCAGCCGCCGGAUCCAGUGGCUAGCGCUCAGAUCGGCGGCCAUCGACGAUGCCUUGUAGGUGGCCGAGGGCGGUGACGGGCAGGCGGUGGUGGUGGGAGCAUCCCAGGGCAGAGAGGAGGCUGGAUGUGGGCAGGUGGCUGCGGUGGUGAGGGAAGGUAGCGGGGAGGGGGUCGGGUGACACGGUGGCAGGAGGCGGCUACGUUUGGUCGGUAGCGGCAGGUGGCCGGAGUCAGGUGGAGGUGAGGUGAUGCGAGGGCACGGCGGCUGCGCCGACACGUGGGGCGGGGCUGCGUUCGAUGGAAACGAGGCGGGUUGGAUGGGGCCGGGUGGUUUGUUUUUUGUUUUCCAGAGUUCGGGAACACCUGCAUCGGCCCUAUAUAGAGGCGCCGUGAUUCAAAUAGUUAUUCUAAUUCUGGAAUUAGAAUAGUGCCACUAUAUAUAUAUUGCUGUUAUAAGAAUAAUCAUGAUGCCUUAUGUCCGUAUUUUAUUUUAUCGACACCUCUACCUCUAAACAUGUGGACAUAUUUAUCGUUAUCGGCUUCUGCUUGAGGACAAGCGAGGUCUAAGCUUGGGGGAGUUGAUACAUCCAUUUUGCAUUAUACUUUUAUAUUAAUAUUUAUUGCAUUAUGGGCUGUCACGUUAUGUCACAAUACUUAUGCAUAUUCUCUCUUAUUUUAUAAGGUUUACAUGAAGAGGGAGAAUGCCGGCAGCUGGAAUUCUGGGCUGGAAAAGGAGCAAAUAUUAAAGACCUAUUCUGCACAGCUCCAAAAGUCCUGAAACUUCAUGGAAGUCCUUUUUCGAAUUAAUAGAAAAUAUUGAACGAAGAAAAUACCAGAGGGGGCCACACGCUGGCCACGAGGGUGGUAGGCGCGCCCCCUGCCUCGUGGGCCCCGUGGUGGCCCUCCGGUGCCCAUCUUCUGCUAUAUGAAGUGUUUCGUCCGAGAAAAAUCAUAAGCAAGCUUUCGGGAAGAAAUUCCGCCACCACGAGGCGGAACCUUGGCAGAACCAAUCUAGGGCUCCGGCAGAGCUGUUCUGCCGGGGACACUUCCCUCCGGGAGGGGGAAAUCAUCGCCAUCGUCAUCACCAACACUCCUCUCAUCGGAAGGGGGCCAAUCUCCAUCAACAUCUUCACCAGCACCAUCUCCUCUCAAACCCUAGUUCAUCUCUUGCAUCCAAUCUUUGUCCCAAAGCCUCAGAUUGGUACCUGUGGGUUGGUAGUAGUGUUGAUUACUCCUUGUAGUUGAUGCUAGUUGGUUUAUUUGAUGGAAGAUCAUAUGUUCAGAUCCUAUAUGCAUAUUAAUACCCCUCUGAUUAUGAACAUGAAUAUGAUUUGUGAGUAGUUACGUUUGUUCCUGAGGACAUGAGAGAAGUCUUGCUAUUAGUAGUCAUGUGAAUUUGGUAUUCAUUCGAUAUUUUGAUGAGAUGUAUGUUGCCUUUCCUCUAGUGGUGUUAUGUGAAUGUCGACUACAUGACACUUCACCAUUAUUUGGGCCUAGAGGAAGGCAUUGGGAAGUAAUAAGUAGAUGAUGGGUUGCUAGAGUGACAUAAGCUUAAACCCUAGUUUAUGAGUUGCUUCGUAAGGGGCUGAUUUGGAUCCAUAUGUUUCAUGCUAUGGUUAGGUUUACCUUAAUACUUUUUUGUAGUUGCGGAUGCUUGCAAUAGGGGUUAAUCAUAAGUGGGAUGCUUGUCCAAGUAGGAAAGCACCGAAGCACCGGCUCAUCCACAUAUCAAAUUAGCAAAGUACUGAACACGAAUCAUAAGAACGUGAUGAAAACUAGCUUGACGAUAAUUCCCAUGUGUCGUCGGGAGCGCUUUUCUCUAUAUAAGACUGGUCCAGGCUUGUCCUUUGCUACAAAAAGGAUUGGGACAUCUUGUUGCACUUUAUUUAUACUUGUUACUUGUUACCCGUUACAAAUUACCUUAUCACAAAACUAUCUGUUACCUUAUCACAACUAACCUGGAUAGUUGUGCUAGUUGUGUUUCCAGGGAAAGAACAGCUGAUGAAGCUGAAAUUCUAUUGAAUAAUAUGUUGACCAAUGAAAAUAAUUGGACACUUCCUGAACCAACUCCUAAGCCAACUCCGAGAAAAGCGGUGUUCUAUUUCUUAGUCCGGAAGAUAUGCAAGAGGCAAAGAAAUCUAUGAAGGAAAAAGGUAUUAAAGCUGAGAAUGUUAAGAAUUUACCUCCUAUUGAAGAAAUACAUGGUCUUAAUUUACCGCCUAUUGAAGAAACACAUGGUCUUGAUAACCCGACAAUGGUAGUAAAGGUAAAUUCUCUCUAUAGAUUUGAUGAAGGUGAUAUUCCUCGUUAUAAGUCCGCUAGCCAAUGCUUAGAUGAGUUUGAUAAUUUUAUUGUCAAACAAGAAAACUUCAAUGCUUACGUUGGUAGAAAAUUGAAACAAAAUUCUUAUAUGAUUGAACACUUGAGUGAUUACAUGUCUAGAGUUAAUGGUGAACUUAAACUCAUUAGUAAGCAUGCCUCUAUGGUUACCACUCAAGUAGAACAAGUACUUAAAGCUCAGAAUGAUUUGCUCAAUGAAUUAAACAACAAGAAAAAUGAUAAUGCUAUUAGAGUUGUGACUAGAGGGGGUAGAAUGACUCAGGAACCCUUGUAUCCUGAGGGCCACCCUAAGAGAAUUGAGCAAGAUUCUCAGAGAACUAAUGUUGAUGCACCUAGUACUUCUAAGAAGAAGAAAAAGAAAAAUGAUAGGACUUUGCAUGCUUAUAGUCAACCUAUUGUAGACACACUUGAGAAUCCCAAUGAUAUUUCUAUUUCUGAUGCUGAAACACAAUCUGGUAAUGAACAUGAACCUAGUGAUAAUGUUAACGAUGAUGUUCAUGUUGAUGGUCAACCUAGCAAUGACAAUGAUGUAGAAAUUGAACCAGCUGUUGAUCUUGACAACGCACAAUCAAAGAAUCAACGUUAUGAUAAGAGAGACUUUGUUGCUAGGAAGCACAGUAAGGAAAGAGAACCAUGGGUUCAGAAACCCAUGCCUUUUCCUCCCAAACUAUCCAAGAAAAAGGAUGAUGAGGAUUUUGAGCGCUUUGCUGAAAUGAUUAGACCUGUCUUUUUGCGUAUGCGUUUGACUGAUAUGCUCAAAAUGAAUCCUUAUGCUAAGUACAUGAAAGAAAUUGUUACAAAUAAAAGAAAGAUACCAGAAGCUAAAAUUUCCACCAUGCUUGCUAAUUAUACUUUUAAGGAUGGAAUACCUAAGAAACUUGGAGAUCCAGGAGUACCCACUAUACCAUGCUCCAUUAAAAGAAACUAUGUUAGAACAACUUUAUGUGAUCUUGGAGCUGGUGUUAGUGUUAUGCCUCUCUCUUUAUAUCGUAGACUUGAUUUGAAUAAGUUGACACCUACUGAAAUAUCUUUGCAAAUGGCUGAUAAAUCAACUGCUAUGCCUGUCGGUAUUUGUGAGGAUCCACCUGUUGUGGUUGCAAACGUUACUAUUGUAACAGACUUUGUUAUUCUUGAUAUUCCCGAGGACGAUAAUAUGUCUAUUAUUCUUGGAAGACCAUUUUUAAAUACUGCAGGGGCUGUUAUUGAUUGCAAGAAGGGCAAUGUCACUUUUCAGGUUAAUGGUAAUGAGCAUACGGUACACUUUCCGAGGAAACAAUCUCAAGUUCAUAGUAUCAACUCUAUUGGAAUAAUUCCAUCGAUUAAUUUUGGAGGUUUUGAAUUUCCUCUUCCUACUGGCAAGAAGAAAUAUGAUAUUCUUAUUAUUGGGGACGUGCAUAUCCCCGUUGAGGUAACCUAGUGUUAUUCAAAAUUUCUCCGGUUCCAUGUUAUUCGUAAUGAGUUUGUUUACAAGACUUGAUCAACCUUGUUAGUAGAUUUCUUUCGAUGAGCAUGAGAUGGAUGAAGUUAGAAAGCACAACUCUUUAUACCCUCCUUUUAUUUUCUGUUACUUAGAAUAAAUAAAGUAAAAAUAGUAUUUUCUGUCAGUUUUCUGAAUUAUUCGUGCAAUAAAAAAUACCCCGAAAAUAAAAGUUCUCCAAAUGCCCCGAAAAUGAAAUAUGUUUUUUCUAGAAUAUUUGAGAAUAUCUGGCACUGAGAACACAACGGGGGGAGAUGGCACCUGGCCACGAGGGUCCAGGGCGCGCCCCCUGCCUCGUGGGCCCAAAGUGGCUCCCCUCCACUUAUUCCAGCCACCACACACUCCUUCUUCCUCCCAAAAAAAUCACCAACCAGCUCAAGCACGAGUUCUUGCUCAUCUUGCUGCCAUUUUUGAUAUGCUUGCUCAAAGCACCUCUCACAAAACUGCUUUGGGGGAUUGUUCCUUGGUAUGUGACUCCUCCAAUGGUCCAAUUAGUUUUUGUUCUAGUGCUUUAUUCAUUGCAAAUUUGUGCUUCCUAGGUGACCAUGUUCUUGAGCUUGCAUGUCAAAUUUAUAUGGUUCCAAGUAGUUCUAAUGCAUGACGAUAUAGUCUCUAGGCACUUGUAGGAGUAGUUGCUAUCAAUUUUGUUGAGCUUGGUUCACUUUUAUUUGAAGUUACUAAAAUUUUCAGAAAUUUUUCAGAGGAAGAAAUAUGUUUAGGAAAAUUUACCAAGGUGGUCCUUCAAGGAAGCAAGGACCCCGACUCGCAAUGCACGAUGCCGACGAUGAACCACCAAGGGAAGCUCAAGUGCGGGCUUGUGAAUGGCUGAUACAUCUCCAACAUAUCUAUAAUUUUUGAUUGCUCCAUGCUAUAUUAUCUACUGUUUUGGACUAUAAUGGGCUUUAUUUUCCACUUUUAUACUAUUUUUCGGACUAACCUAUUAACCGGAGGCCCAACCCAGAAUUGUUGUUUUUUGCCUAUUUCAGAGUUUUGAAGAAACAUAAUAUCAAACGGAGUCCAAAUAGAAUAAAACAUUCGGGAACGUGAUUUUCUCACCGAACGUGAUCCAGGAGACUUGGACCCUACUCCAAGGAACAAAAGAGUCGGUCACGAGGGUGGGGGGCGCGCCCCUGCCUCGUGGGCCCCCUGUUGCUCCACCGACGUACUACUUCCUCCUAUAUAUAUCUACGUACCCCCGAACGAUCAGAAUAGGAGCCAAAAACCUAAUUCCACCGCCGCAACCUUCUGUAUCCAUGAGAUCCCAUCUUGGGGCCUGUUUUGGAGCUCCGCCGGAGAGGGCCGUCAUCACGGAGGGCUUCUACAUCAUCCUAGCCCCUCCGAUGAAGUGUGAGUAGUUCACCUCAGACCUACGGGUCCAUAGUUAUUAGCUAGAUGACUUCUUCUCUCUUUUUGGAUCUCAAUACAAUGUUCUCCCCCUCUCUUGUGGAGAUCUAUUCGAUGUAAUCUUCUUUUUGCGGUGUGCUUGUUGAGACCGAUGAAUUGUGGGUUUAUGAUCAAGUCUAUCUAUGAAUAAUAUUUGAUUCUUCUCUGAAUUCUUUUAUGUAUGAUUGGUUAUCUUUGCAAGUCUCUUCGAACUAUGAGUUUGGUUUGGCCUACUAGAUUGGUUUUUCUUGCCAUGGGAGAAGUGCUUGGCUUUGGGUUCAAUCUUGUGGUGUCCUUUCCCAGUGACAGAAGGGGCAGCAAGGCACGUAUAGUAUUGUUGCCAUCGAGGAUAACAAGAUGGGUUUUUUAUCAUAUUGCACGAAACUAUCCCUCUACAUCAUGUCAUCUUGCUUAAGGCAUUACUCUAUUUUUAACUUAAUACUCUAGAUGCAUGCUGGAUAGCGGUCGAUGAGUGGAGUAAUAGUAGUAGAUGCAGGCAGGAGUCGGUCUACUUGUCUCGGACGUGAUGCCUAUAUACAUGAUCAUACCUAGAUAUUCUCAUAAUUAUGCUCAAUUCUGUCAAUUGCUCAGUUGUAAUUUGUUCACCCACCAUAGAAUACUUAUGCUCUUGAGAGAAGCCACUAGUGAAACCUAUGGCCCCAGGGUCUAUUUACCUCAUAUUAAUCUCUAUCACUUUAAUCUCGCUUGCUUUUUACUUUGCCUUUUUACUUUUCACUUUGCAUCUCUAUAUCAAAAAUACCAAAAAUAUUAUCUAUCAUCUCUAUCAGAUCUCACCCCCGUAAGUAACCGUGAAGGGAUUGACAACCCCUAAUCGCGUUGGUUGCGUGGAGCUAUUGUUUUUGUGUAGGUACGAGGGACUUGGGCGUGGCCUCCUACUGGAUUGAUACCUUGGUUCUCAAAAACUGAGGAAAUACUUACGCUACUUUGCUGCAUCAUCCUCUCCUCUUCGGGGAAAUCCAACGUAGUGCUCAAGAGGUAGCAAUGGCCGUCAGAGGACUUCAUGGAUCGAGCACGAAUCAAGGAAGAAUUUAACGCAUAUGUGCGUAACACUGAUCUUGUGAGCUUUGAGGCAGAUAAGUGCCGUCAGUACCACUAUCUCACUGAUUCCUCUGUGGAGGUUUGAAUUUUCAUCUUCACGCAAUUCUCAAACUGUCCUGUUUGAUCUUUAUGAAAAUUCAUAUACUAUGGACUUAGAGGAUUUCAAUACUGCUUGCAAACUUCCACAAUGGGCUAGUCCUAGUGAACCUCGCAAAUCUGAGUUUAGAGAUUUUCUUGCUAGUAUAACUGUGGGGGAGUCUAGAGAUAUAACACAAGCUACCAUAGGGAGCAUUCAUUUUCCUGCUAUACAUUAUUUUGCUCCCUUCAUAGGUAGGUGCAUAAAUGAUAAGGAUGAAGCAUGUCACAUGUGUGUCCCUGAUCUCAGUGUUCUCAGGAGUGCUGUAUUAGGAGAUAAACAUUAUAAUUUGGGGGCCAUUGUUGCACGUAGGUUGCAUAAUAAUAGAAUUAAUGAAGAUUUCUUUGGUGGAAUUUAUGCAACCCGUCUAGCUAAUUUUCUUGAUAUACCCAUACGUGAGCAUGAUAUUGAGUUGCCUCCUGUUUAUUUAGAUUAUGAGGCUAUGGUUCGUCAUCAGUUUGUUGAGAGCAACGAUAAGUUCCUCCUGUACAGACUAACCUUGACAGACGACGCACCUAUCACGUCGCUCUCCCUGCUCCUACUUUCUUUGACUUUCAGGCAAAGGGGAGAUAUGUCAUAACUAGGGAGGAGGCAAAUGAGCAUGAGAGGAGGACGAUGGCAGCUCGCCUCCAAGCUGUAGCCCACGAAGCAAUAGCCGCUGCAUCUCAGUACGAGCACAGUUACAACUUCAGAUAUCCGCCAGGCCAGCCGUGGCAAUGAACCAACUUAGGCCAAAAGCCUAAGCUUGGGGGAGUGUGUAUUUCUCACCGACAUUAUAUUCAUAUUCACACACUCAUGCUAGUUGUCGGUGCUCAUACUUUUUCACUUUAAUAUCCAUGUUAGUUUAUUUUCCUUUUUAUUCUUUCUUCUUGUGUGUUUGAUAAACCUUAAGAAAAAAACAAAAAAAAUAGUUGUAGCUUUUAGCUAGUUUACUUUCCUUGCUGUAGUAGUAACUAAAAGAAAACCCAAAAAGAUUUCCUGUUCUUCUUUUGCUUGUUGGGAGCUUUCCCGUGUAAAUAAUUUCAUUUCUUUUCUUUUCUUUGGGGGUCGAUAGAGAAGACCAUAAUGAAAAUGUUGAAGUGGCUCUUAUAUGCAUUAUUGUUGAUUUAAGAAAGAGCCCAUAUUGCCUUGUCUUCUCCUUUGUAUUGAAUGAUUGCAGAUUCCAGCUUAGUCCAAUGCACGUGCACUAUUAUUAUUAUUCACAUCGUUCGGUCGUGCAAGUGAAAGGCAAUAAUGAUGAUAUAUGAUGGACUAAUUGAGAUGAGAGAAGCUGGUAUGAACUCGACCUCUCUUGUUUUUGUAAAUAUGAUUAGUUCAUCGUUCCCGAUUCAGCCUAUUAUGAAUAAACAUGUUUGCAAUGACAAUUAGAUAUUAUAGUUGCUUAUGCCAGUUAGCUAGGAGUUUAUAAUGGUUUACCUUGCGUGCCAACAUGCUAUUAAAAUGGUUGUGAUGUGGUAUGAUAGGGUGGUAUCCUCCUUUGAAUGAUUCAAGUGACUUGACUUGGCACAUGUUCACGCAUGUAGUUGAAACAAAAUCAACAUAGCCUUCAUGAUAUUUAUGUUCAUGAUGGAUUAUAUCCUACUCAUGCUUGCACUCGAUCUUUAUUAAUUUUAAUGCAUGUUCAUGGCUGUUGUCGCUCUCUAGUUGGUCGCUUCCCAGUCUUUUGCUAGCCUCCACUUGUGCUAAGCGGGAAUACUACUCGUGCAUCCACUUCCAUAAACCCCAAAGUUAUUCCAUAUGAGUCCACUAUACCUUCCUAUAUGCGAUAUCUACAUGCCGUUCCAAGUAAAUUUGUAUGUGCCAAAUUUGGAAUGGCAGGUAGAUACCGCAUAUAGGAAGGUAUGGUGGACUCAUAUGAAAUAACUUUGGGGUUUAUGGAAGUGGAUGCACAAGCAGUAUUCCCGCUUAGUACAAGUGAAAUCUAGAAAAAGACUGGAAAGCGACCAACUAGAGAGCGACAACAGUCAUGAACGUGCAUUAAAAUUAAUUAACAUUGAGUGCAAGCAUGAGUAGGAUAUAAUCCGCGAUGAACAUAAAUAUCGUGGAGGCUAUGUUGAUUUUGUUUCAACUACAUGCGUGAACAUGUGCCAAGUCAAGUCACUCAAAUCGUUCAAAGGAGGAUACCACACCAUCAUACCACAUGACAAUCAUUUUAAUAGCAUGUUGGCACGCAAGGUAAACCAUUAUAAACUCCUAGCAAGUUAAGCAUGACAUAAGCAACUAUAAUCUCUAAUUGUCACUGCAAACAUGUUUCAUUCAUAAUAGGCUGAAUCAGGAAUGAUGAACUAAUCAUAUUUAUAAAAACAAGAGAGGUCGAGUUCAUACCAGCGUCACUCAUCUCAAUCAAUCCAUCAUAUAUCAUCAUUAUUGCCUUUCACUUGCACGACCGAACGGUGUGAAUAAUAAUAAUAGUGCACGUGCAUUGGACUAAGCUGGAAUCUGCAAGCAUCUGAUACAAAGGAGAAGACAAGGUAAUAUGGGCUCUUGAUUAAAUCAACAAUAAUGCAUAUAAGAGCCACUUCAACAUUUUCAUUAUGGUCUUCUCCUCUCGAACCCCAAAGAACAAGAAAAGAAAUAAAACUAUUUACACGGGAAAGCUCCCAACAAGCAAAAGAAGAAUGAGAAAUCUUUUUGGGCUUUCUUUUUAAUUAUUACUACUGCAAGCAUGGAAAGUAAACUAGCUAAAAUCUACAACUAAUUUUUUUGGUUUUUCUUAAGGUUAUUCGAACACAUAAGAAGAAAGCGAGGAAAGAAAAUAAACUAGCAUGGAUAGUACAAUGGAAAAGUAUGAUCACCAACAACUAGAAUGAGUGUGUGAACAAGAAUGUAAUGUCGGUGAGAAAUACGUACUCCCCCAAGCUUAGGCUUUUGGCCUAAGUUGGUCUAGGGGCAUGGCUGGCCUGGCGGAUAUCCAAAGUUGUAGCUGGGGUCGUACUGAGAUGCAGCAGCUAUUGCCUCAUGAGUUGCAGCUUGGAGGCGGGCUGCCUCCAUCCUCCUCUUAUAUUCGUUCGCCUCCUCCCUGGUUAUCACAUAUCUCCCUUUUGCCUGAAAGUCAAAGAAAGUAGGAGCAGGGAGAGCAACAUGGAAAGUGCGGCUCCUGUCAAACAUUAGUCGGUACUAGAGAGGCUGUUCGUUCCUCUCAAUAAACUGAUGGCGAACCAUAGAAUUAUAAUCUAGAUAAGUGGGAGGCAAUUCCAUAUCAUUUUCAUGUAUGGGUAUCUCAAGAAAAUUAGCCACACGAGUUGCAUAAAUCCCACCAAACAAGUCUCCACUUAAACCAUUAUUAUGCAACCUUCGUGCAACAAUGGCCCCCAAGUUAUAUUGUUUAUCUCCUAAAACAACACUCUUGAGAACACUAAGAUCUGGAACACACAUAUGACAUGCCUCAUCCUUACCGUUUAUGCAUCUACCUAUAAAGAGAGCAAAAUAAUGUAUAGCAGGAAAGUGAAUGCUCCCUAUGGUAGCUUGUGUUAUUUCUCUAGAUUCCCCCACAGUGAUACUAGCAAGAAAAUCUUUAAAUUCAGAUUUGCGAGGUUCACUAGCACUACCCCAUUGCGGAAGUUUACAAGCAGUAUUAAAAUCUUCAAAGUCCAUAGUAUAAGAUUUACCAUAGAGAUCAAAUAGGACAGUGUUAUAAUUACACGAAGAUGAAAAUUUGAACCUUCUCACAUAGGAAUCAGUUAGGUAAUAAUAUUGAGAGCACUUAUCUAGCAUGAAGCCCUCAAGUUCAGCAUUACACACAUAUGCGUCAAAUUCCUCCUUAAUUCCUGCUCGAACCAUGAAAUCUUCUGACGGCCAUUCACAAGGCCGCACUUGAGCUUCUCUUGGGGGUUCAUGGUCCGACUCACAUGUUGCGGGCCUGGGUCCUUGCUUCAUUGAAGAACCACCUUGAUACAUUUUCCUAAACAUAUUUCUUCCUCUGAAAAAUUUCUGAAAAUUUUAGUAACUUAAAAUAAAAGUGAACCAAACUCAAUAAAAUUGAUAGCAACUACUCCCACAAGUGCCUAGAGACUAUAUCGUGCAUUAGAACUACUUGGGACCAAACAAAUUUGACAUGCAAGCUCAAGAACAGGGUCACCUAGGCAGCAAAAAUUUGCAAUGAAUAAAGCACUAGAACAAAAAUUAAUUGGACCAUUGGAGGAGUCACAUACCAAAGAACAAUCCCCCAAAGCAGUUUUGUGAAUGGAGCUUUGAGCAAGGAGAUCGAAAAUGGCAGCAAGAUGAGCUAGAACUCGUGCUUGAGCUGGUUGGUGAUUUUUUUGGGAGGAAGAAGGAGUGUGUGGUGGUUGGAAUCAGUGGAGGGGGGCCACCAGGGGCCCACAAGGCUGGGGGGUGCCCAGGGGGGUAGGCGCGCCCUGGACCCUCGUGGCCAGGUGCUUGCUCCCCCUGAUGUGUUCUCAGUUCCAGAUAUUCUCAAAUAUUCUAGAAAAAAUCAUAUUUCAUUUUUAGGGCAUUUGGAGAACUUUUAUUUUGAGGGUAUUUUUUAUUGCACGGAUAAUUCAAAAACAGACAGAAAAUACUAUUUUUGCUUUAUUUAAUCUAAAUAAUAGAAAUUAGAAGGAGCGUACAGAAGGUUGUGCUUACUAACUUCAUUCAUCUCAUGCUUAUCAAAAGGAAUCCACUAACAAGGUUGAUCAAGUCUUGUUAACAAACUCAUUCCGAAUCACAUGAAACCGGAGAAUUUUUGAAUAGCACUACGUUACCUCAACGGGGAUAUGCACAUCCCCCACAAUAAGAAUAUCAUAUUUCUUCUUGACAAUAGGAAGAGGAGAUUCAAAGCCUCCAAUAGUAAUCAUUGAAAAUUUUCCAAUAGAAUUGAUACUGUGGACUUGAGGUUGUUUCCUCGGAAAGUGUACCGUAUGCUCAUUACCAUUAACAUGAAAAGUGACAUUGCCUUUGUUGCAAUCAAUAACAUCCCUUGCAGUAUUCAAAAAGGGUCUACCAAGGAUAAUUGACAUACUAUCAUCCUCAGGAAUAUCAAGAAUAACAAAGUCUGUUAAAAUAGUAAUGUUUGCAACCACAACAGGCACAUCCUCACAAAUACCGAUAGGUAUAGCAGUUGAUUUAUCGGCCAUUUGCAAAGAUAUUUCAGUAGGUGUCAACUUAUUCAAAUCAAGUCUACGAUAUAAAGAGAGGCAUAACACUAACACCGGCUCCAAGAUCACAGAAAGCAGUUUUAACAUAGUUUCUUUUAAUGGAGCAUGGUAUAGUUGGUACUCCUGGAUCUCCUAGUUUCUUAGGUAUUCCACCCUUAAAAGUAUAAUUAACAAGCAUGGUGGAAAUUUUAGCUUCCAGUAUCUUUCUUUUAUCUGUAACAAUAUCCUUCUAUAUACUUAGCAUAAGGAUUCAUUUUAAGCAUAUCAGUCAAACGCAUACGCAAAAAGAUAGGUCUAAUCAUUUCAGCAAAGCGCUCAAAAUCCUCAUCAUCCUUUUUCUUGGAUGGUUUGGGAGGAAAAGGCAUGGGUUUCUAAACCCAUUAUUCUCUUCCUUUACCGUGCUUCCUAGCAACAAAGUCUCUCUUAUCAUAACGUUGAUUCUUUGAUUGUGGGUUAUCAAGAUCAACAGUAGGUUCAAUCUCUACAUCAUUGUUAUUGCUAGGUUGAGUAUCAACAUGAACAUCAUCAUUAAUAUUAUCACUAGGUUCAUGUUCAUCACCAAACUGUGUUUUAGCAUCAGAAAUAGAAAUAUCAUUGGGAUUCUCAGGUGUGUCUAUAACAGAUUCACUAGAAGCAUGCGAAGUCCUAUCAUUUUUCUUUUUCUUCUUUUUAGAAGGACUGAGUGCAUCAACAUUAGUUCUUUGAGAAUCUUGCUCAAUUCUCUUAGGGUGGCCCUCAGAAUACAAAGGUUCCUGAGUCAUUCUACCCCCUCUAGUCACAACUCUAACAACAUUAUCAUUUUUCUUAUUAUUUAAUCCAUUAAGCAAAUCAUUUUGAGCUUUAAGCACUUGUUCUACUUGAGUGGUAACCAUAGAAGCAUGUUUACUAAUGAGUUUAAGUUCACCUUUAACUCUAGACAUAUAAUCACUCAACUGUUCAAUCAUAUAAGCAUUUUGUUUCAAUUGUCUUCCAACAUAAGAAUUGAAGUUUUCUUGUUUAACAAUAAAAUUAUCAAACUCAUCUAAGCAUUGGCUAGCAGACUUAUAACGAGGAAUAUUACCUUCAUCAAAUCUAUAGAGAGAAUUUACCUUUACUACAUGUGUCGGGUUAUCAAGACCAUGUAUUUCUUCUACAGGCGGCAAAUUAAGACCAUGUAUUUCUUCAAUAGGAGGUAAAUUCUUAACAUCAUCAGCUUUAAUACCCUUUUCUUUCAUAGAUUUCUUUGCCUCCACUAGUAGAAAAAGGACCUAAUGUGAGACAUAUUAGUCCCGGUUCGAUUUUGGGCUGGUACUAAUGGUACCAUUAGUGCCGGUUCGAAAGGCUAUGCACUAAUGCCGGUUCGUCUUGAACCUUUAGUACCGGUUUGUGCCACGAACCGGUACUAAAGGGGUGGUGGCAGGCUGGCGUCAGGCCGGGGCCCCACNNNNNNNNNNNNNNNNNNNNNNNNNNNNNNNNNNNNNNNNNNNNNNNNNNNNNNNNNNNNNNNNNNNNNNNNNNNNNNNNNNNNNNNNNNNNNNNNNNNNNNNNNNNNNNNNNNNNNNNNNNNNNNNNNNNNNNNNNNNNNNNNNNNNNNNNNNNNNNNNNNNNNNNNNNNNNNNNNNNNNNNNNNNNNNNNNNNNNNNNNNNNNNNNNNNNNNNNNNNNNNNNNNNNNNNNNNNNNNNNNNNNNNNNNNNNNNNNNNNNNNNNNNNNNNNNNNNNNNNNNNNNNNNNNNNNNNNNNNNNNNNNNNNNNNNNNNNNNNNNNNNNNNNNNNNNNNNNNNNNNNNNNNNNNNNNNNNNNNNNNNNNNNNNNNNNNNNNNNCAUUUUUGAAAAAACAAAAGAAAAACAUAUAAUAUAUCUUUUGCAUACGAUGUCGGAAAAAACGUAUAAUAUAUCAAAAAAUUCAGCACGAAAAUCCGCAUCCGAUUUUGAUAGCCUAUGGACUGUUUGCAAUUUUUUAGAAUCCUCAAAUUCCAAAAGAAAAAAAAGAUAUUCUCAAAUUUUAGUUUUUUUAUUUUGGUUAAAUCUGGUCAAACUAUGGUCAAACUACUUAUUCAAGAAGUAUUAAUGGUACUACAUAAUUAUUCAAGAAUAUUAGUGUUACUAAAUAAUUAUUUCAAUUUUUUGAAUUUUGGUCAAAUAUAGUCAAACUAUGGUCAAACUGUGGUCAAACUAUGGUCAAACUUAUUCAAAAAAUAUUAGUGUUACUAAAUAAUUACUAUUUUUUAGAAUAAUAGUUUCAAACUCAAACGGUGAAACGUGUGACCUAAUGCUCAAGCUAAACUGCUGAGGGUUAGUAGGAUUGACAACUUACAUUUGUCAGGAAAACAACAAGUGUAGACUUGGAAAGUAGGGGGAAUAGAACUCCGAAGUUAAGCGUGCUCAGGCUGGGGGAGUGAGAGGAUGGGUGAUCGGCCGGGAAGUUACACGAUUUGGAAUGAGUAAUCCACACUUGAGCAGUUAAGAGAGGUGAUUAGAGACUAAAUCAUCAAAUAAUUCAAAAAAUUGAAAACCGAAAAAAAUCAAAAAUUAAAAAAACUCAAAAAAAUACCUUUAGUACCGAUUGGUAACACCAACCGGUACUAAAGGUCCCCCAUACCACGGCGCGAGCUCACGCCACGUGGUGGGCCUUUAGUGGCGGUUCGUGCCGAACCGGUACUAAAGGGGGGGUCUUUAGUCUCCACCCUUUAGUGUCGGUUGCAGAACCGGCACUAAAGGCCCUUACGAACCGGUUUUAAAGCUCCGUUUUCUACUAGUGCUCUUGCAUAUCUUCAGGACUGAGAAAUAGAAUGCCCCUCUUCUUUGGAGUUGGUUCAGGAAAUGUCCAAUUAUUUUCAUUAGUCAACAUAUUAUUCAAUAGCAAUUCAGCUUGAUCAACUGUUCUUUCCCUGAAAACACGACCAGCACAACUAUCCAGGUGGUCUCUGGAAGCAUCGGUUAGUCCAUUAUAAAAGAUAUCAAGUAUUUCAUUUUUCUUGAGAGGAUGAUCAGGAAAAGCAUUAAGUAUUUGGAGAAGCCUCCCCCAAGCUAGUGGGAGACUCUCUUCUUCAAUUUGCACAAAAUUAUAUAUUUCCCUUAAAGCACCUUGUUUCUUAUGAGCGGGGAAAUAUUUAGCAGAGAAGUAAUAAAUCAUAUCCUAGGGACUACGCACACAACCAGGAUCAAGAGAAUUAAACCAUGUUUUAGCAUCACCCUUUAAUGCGAACGGAAAUAACUUAAGGAUACAGUAGUAGCGAGUUUUCUCAUCAUUAGUGAAUAGGGUGGCUAUAUCAUUUAACUUAGUAAGAUGUGCCAGAACAAUUUCAGAUUCAUAGCCAUAAAAAGGAUUAGAUUCAACCAAAGUAACUAUCUCAGGAUCAACAGAGAAAUCAUAAUCCUUAUCAGUAACACAGAUAGGUGAAGUAGCAAAAGCAGGGUCAUAUUUCAUUCUAGCAUUCAAAGAUUUUUCCUUCAGCUUAACUAAUAAUUUCUUAAGAUCAUUUCUAUCAUUGCAAGCAAGAAAGUCUCUAGCAGUUUCUUCAUCCAUAACAUAACCCUCAGGCACAACAGGCAAUUCAUAUCUGGGGGGAGAAUCUUCAUCAUCACUUUCAUCAAUAUUAUCAGUUUCAAUAAUUUCAUUCUCUUUAGCCCUAGCAAGUUGUUCAUCAAGAAAUUCACCUAGUGGCACAGUAGUAUCAAUCAUAGAAGUAGUUUCAUCAUAAGCAUCAUGCAUAACAGAAGUGGCAUCAUCAAGAACAUGCGACAUAUCAGAAUUAAUGGAAGAAGCAGGUUUAGGUGUCACAAGCUUACUCAAAACAGAAGGUGAAUCAAGUGCAGAGCUAGAUGCCAGUUCCUUACCUCCCCUCGUAGUUGAGGGAAAAAUCAUAGUUCUUUCAUCUUUCAAGUUCCUCAUAGUGAUCAGCAGAUAUAAAUCCCAAGUGACUCAAAGAAUAGAGCUAUGUUCCCCGGCAACGGCGCCAGAAAAUAGUCUUGAUAACCCACAAGUAUAGUGGAUCGCGACAGUUUAAUUCAACCCGAAUUUAUUGAUUCGACACAAGGGGAGCCAAAGAAUAUUCUCAAGUAUUAGCAGUUGAGUUGUCAAAUCAACCACACCUGGAUAACUUAAUAUCUACAGCAAAGUAUUUAGUAGCAUAGUAGUAUGGAAGUAACGGUAAUAGAGAUAAAAGUAACAGUAGUAGUUUUGUAGUAAUUGUAAUAGUGGCAAAGGAAAAGUAACUAAGCAGAGAACAAUAUGUGACAAGCUCGUAGGCAUUGGAUCGGUGAUGGAGAAUUAUGCCGGAUGCGAUUCCUCAUGCAAUAAUUAUAACAUAGGGUGACACAGAACUAACUCCAAUUCAUCAAUGUAAUGUAGGCAUGUAUUCCGAAUAUAGUCAUACGUGCUUAUGGAAAAGAACUUGCAUGACAUCUUUUGUCCUACCCUCUCGUGGCAGCGGGGUCCUAUUGGAAACUAAGGGAUAUUAAGGCCUCCUUUUAAUAGAGUACCGGACCAAAGCAUUAGCACUUAGUGAAUACAUGAACUCCUCAAACUACGGUAAUCACCGGGAGUGGUCCCGAUUAUUGUCACUUCGGGGUUGCCGGAUCAUAACACAUAGUAGGUGACUAUAGACUUGCAAGAUAGGAUCAAGAACUCACACAUAUUCAUGAAAACAAAAUAGGUUCAGAUCUGAAAUCAUGGCACUCGGGCCCUAGUGACAAGCAUUAAGCAUAGCAAAGUCAUAGCAACAUCAACCUCAGAACAUAAUGGAUACUAGGGAUCAAACCCUAACAAAACUAACUCGAUUACAUGGUAAAUCUCAUCUAACCCAUCACCGUCCAGCAAGCCUACAAUGAAAUUACUCACGCAUGGCAGUGAGCAUCAUGAAAUUGGCGAUGGAGGAAGGUUGAAAAUGACGAUGGCGACAGAUUCCCCACUCCGGAGCCCCGAACGGACUCUAGAACAGCCCUCCCGAGAGAGAUUAGGGCUUGGCAGCGGCUCCGUAUCGUAAAACGCGAUGAAUCCUUUCUCUCUGAUUUUUUCUCCUCGAACAUGAAUAUAUAGAGUUGGAGUUGAGGUCGGUGGAGUACCAGGGGGCCCACGAGGCAGGGGGCGUGCCCAGGGGGGUAGGCGCGCCCCCACCCUCGUGGAUGAUACGUCUCCGUCGUAUCUACAUUUCCUAACACAUUUGCCCUUGUUUUGCACUCUAACUUGCAUGAUUUGAAUGCAACUAACCCGGACUGACGUUGUUUUCAGCAGAAUUGACAUGGUGUUAUUUAUGUGCAGAAAAAAAGUUCUCGGAAUGACCUGAAACUUCACGGAGAUUAUUUUUGGAAAUAAUAAAAAUACUAGCGAAAGAAUCAAGGCCAGGGGGCCACACCCUUUCCACGAGGGUGGGGGCGCGCCUUCCCCCCUGGGCGCGCCCCCCUACCUCGUGGGCCCCUGGUACUCCACCGACCUCAACUCCAACUCUAUAUAUUCGUGUUCGGUGAGAAAAAAAUAGAGAGGAAGAUUCGUUGCGUUUUACGAUACGGAGCCGCUGCCAAGCCCUAAACUCUCUCGGGAGGGCUGAUCUGGAGUCCGUUCGGGGCUCCGGAGAGGGGAAUCCGUCGCCAUCGUCAUCAUCAACCAUCCUCCAUCACCAAUUUCAUGAUGCUCACCGCCGUGCGUGAGUAAUUCCAUCGUAGGCUUGCUGGACGGUGAUGGGUUGGAUGAGAUUUAUCAUGUAAUCGAGUUAGUUUUGUUAGGGUUUGAUCCCUAGUAUCCACUAUGUUCUGAGAUUGAUGUUGCUAUGACUUUGCUAUGCUUAAUGCUUGUCACUAGGGCCCGAGUGCCAUGAUUUUAGAUCUGAACCUAUUAUGUUUUCAUGAAUAUAUGUGAGUUCUUGAUCCUAUCUUGCAUGUCUAUAGUCACCUACUAUGUGCUAUUAUCUGGCAACCCCAAAGUGACAAUAAUUGGGACCACUCCCGGUGAUGACCAUAGUUUGAGGAUUUCAUGUAUUCACUAUGUGUUAAUGCUUUUGUCCAGUACUCUAUUAAAAGGAGGCCUUAAUAUCCCUUAGUUUCCAUUAGGACCCCGCUGCCACGGGAGGGUAGGACAAAAGAUGUCAUGCAAGUUCUUUUCCAUAAGCACGUAUGACUAUAUUCAGAAUACAUGCCUACAUUACAUUGAUGAAUUGGAGCUAGUUCUAUGUCACCCUAUGUUAUGACUGUUACAUGAUGAACCGCAUCCGGCAUAAUUCUCCAUCACCGAUCCAAUGCCUACGAGCUUUUCACAUAUUGUUCUUCGCUUAAUUACUUUUCCAUCGCAACUGUUACAAUCACCACAAAACCCAAAAAUAUUACUUUUGCUACCGUUACCAUUACUAUCAUACUACUUUGCUACUAGAUACUUUGCUGCAAAUACUAAGUUAUCCAGGUGUGGUUGAAUUGAUAACUCAAAUGCUAAUACUUGAGAAUAUUCUUUGGCUCCCCUUGUGUCGAAUCAAUAAAUUUGGGUUGAAUACUCUACCGUCGAAAACGUUGCGAUCCCCUAUACUUGUGGGUUAACAAGACUAUUUUCUGGCACCGUUGUCGGGGAGCAUAGCUCUAUUCUUUGAGUCACUUGGGAUUUAUAUAUGCUGGUCACUAUGAAGAACUUGAAAGACAAAAGAACUAAGCUUUUUCCCUCAACUAUGAGGGGAGGGAAAGAACAACUAAUGAAGCUGAAAUUCUAUUGAAUGAUAUGUCGACUAAUGAUAAUAAUUGGACACUUCCUGAACCAACUCCUAAGCCAACUCCGAAGAAAAGGGGUGUUCUAUUUCUCAGUCUGGAAGAUAUACAAGAGGCAAAGAAAUCUAUGAAGGAAAAAGGUAUUAAAGCUGAAGAUGUUAAGAAUUUACCUCAUGUUGAAGAAAUACAUGGUCUUAAUUUACCGCCUGUUGAAGAAAUACAUUGUCCUGAUAACCCGACACGGGUAGUAAAGGUAAAUUCUCUCUAUAGAUUUGAUGAAGGUGGUAUUCCUCGUUAUAAGUCUGCUAGCCAAUGCUUAGAUGAGUUUGAUAAUUUUAUUGUCAAACAAGAAAAUUUCAAUGCUUAUUUUGGUAGACAAUUGAAAGAAAAUGCUUAUAUGAUUGAACACUUGAGUGAUUAUAUGUCUAGAGUUAAAGGUGAACUUAAACUCAUUAGUAAACAUGCUUCUAUGGUUACCACUCAAGUAGAACAAGUACUUAAAGCUCAAAAUGAUUUGCUCAAUGAAUUGAAUAGUAAGAAUAAUGACUAUGUUGUUAGAGUUGUGACCAGAGGGGGUAGAAUGACUCAGGAACCUUUGUAUCCUGAGGGUCACCCUAAGAGAAUUGAGCAGGAUUUUCAGAGAAAUAAUUUAGAUGCACCUAGUCCUCCUAAGAAGACGAAAAAGAAAAAUGAUAGGACUUUGCAUGCUUCUAGUGAACCUGUUGUAGACACACCUAAGUAUCCCAAUGAUAUUUAUAUCUCUGAUGCUGAAACACAAUCUGGUAAUGAACAUGACCCUAGUUAUAAUGUUAAUAAUGAUGUUCAUGUUGAUGCUCAACCUAGCAAUGAUAAUUAUGUAGAAAUUGAACCCGUUGUUGAUCUUGAUAACCCACAAUCAAAGAAUCAACGUUAUGAUAAGAGAGACUUUGUUGCUAGGAAGCACGGUAAAGAAAGAGAACCAUGGGUUCAGAAACCCAUGCCUUUUCCUCCCAAACCAUCCAAGAAAAAGGAUGAUGAGGAUUUUGAGCGCUUUGCUGAAAUGAUUAGACCUAUCUUCUUGCGUAUGCGUUUGACUGAUAUGCUCAAAAUGAAUCCUUAUGCUAAGUACAUGAUAGAAAUUGUUACUAAUAAAAGAAAGAUACCGGAAGCUGAAAUUUCCACCAUGCUUACUAAUUAUACUUUUAAGGGUGGAGUACCUAAGAAACUUGGAGAUACAGGAGUACCAACUAUACCAUGCUCCAUUAAAAGAAACUAUGUUAAAACUGCUUUAUGUGAUCUUGGAGCCGGUGUUAGUGUUAUGCCUCUCUCUUUAUAUCGUAGACUUUAUUUGAAUAAGUUGACACCUACUGAAAUAUCUUUGCAAAUGGCUGAUAAAUCAACUGCUAUACCUGUCGGUAUUUGUGAGGAUGUGCCUGUUGUGGUUGCAAAUGUUACUAUUUUAACAGACUUUGUUAUUCUUGGUAUUCCCGAAGACGAUAGUAUGUCUAUUAUUCCUGGAAGACCCUUUUUGAAUACUGCAGGGGCUGUUAUUGAUUGCAACAAAGGCAAUUUCACUUUUCAUGUUAAUGGUAAUGAGCAUACGAUACACUUUCCGAGGAAACAACCUCAAGUCCAUAGUAUCAAUUCUAUUGGAAAAACUCCAUCGAUUAUUAUUAGAGGUUUUGAAUUUCCUCUUCCUACUGUCAAAAAGAGAUAUGAUAUUCUUAUUGUUGGGGAUGUGCAUAUCACCUUGAGGUAAAAUAGUGUUAUUCGAAAUUUCUCCGGUUCCAUGAUAUUCGGAAUGAGUUUGUUAACAAGACUUGAUCAACCUUGUUAGUAUAUUCCUUUCGAUGAUCAUGAGAUGGAUGAAGUUAGAAAGCACAACCUUCUGUACCCUCUUUUUACUUUCGGUUAUUUAGUCGAAAUAAAGAAAAAAUAGUAUUUUUUGUCUGUUUUUUGAAUUACCCAUGCAAUAAAAAAAUAUACCCCGAAAAUAAAAGUCCUCUAAAUGUCCCGAAAAUGGAAUAUGAUUUUUUCUGUAAUAUUUGAGAAUAUGUAGCACUGAGAACACAGUAGGUGGAGCAAGCACCUGGCCACGAGGGUCCAGGGCGCGCCCACCCCUACAGGGCACGCCCCCUGCCUCAUGGGCCCAUGGUGGCUCCCCUCCACUUAUUCCAGCCACCACACACUCCUUCUUCCUCCCAAAAAAUCACCAACCAGCUCAAGCACGAGUUUUAGCUUAUUUUGCUGCGAUUUUUGAUCUCCUUGCUCAAAGCACCUCUCACAAAACUGCUUUGGGGGAUUGCUCCUUGGUAUGUGACUCCUCCAAGGGUCCAAUUAGUUUUUGUUCUAGUGCUUUAUUCAUUGCAAAUUUGUGCUGCCUAGGUGACCACGUUCUUGAGCUUGCAUGUCAAAUUUAUAUGGUUCCAAGUAGUUCUAAUACAUGAUAUAGUCUCUAGGCACUUGUAGGAGUAGUUGCUAUCAAUUUUGUUGAGUUUGGUUCACUUUUAUCUGAAGUUACUAAAAUUUCAGAAAUUUUUAGAAAAUAAUGAAGAGAUUUUUUUAGGGGCUCUUCGAGCCGAAGCUCGAAGGAUAAGCAAAGUGAAGAAGAAGAGAGGCCCCAAUAUAAUCUCCCUCGCAUCGCGGAAGUUCGGCCGUGUGAAUGGCCUUGCGAUGAUUUCUUGAGAGAGGCCGGGAUUUAUGAUGAUUUUUAUGAAUUGGCUGAGAAUGCAGGCCUCACCGACUUCCUCCACGACAAACGCGAACAGUAUCUCUUACUCACCAAUAUCUUUGUGCAAAAUUUUCAUUUCCAUUAUAGGAGGUCACCACCUUCGGUGGAUUUUUAUUUAUAUGAUGAGUAUAAGGAGAUGACCCUUCGUGAAUUUUGUGAGGUUUGCAAGUUGCCUUUUCCGGGCAGCGUAGAGGAACCACACCGUGACAAUGUGGAGAGGUUUAUUGGUACAAUUGUUGUAGGGGAAACUAGAAAGUUUUUGAUGCAAGAAUCACUAGCAUACAUUUUUCUAUUUUAUGUUACUUUGCAUUAUUUGCUAGUAGAUGCUUAAUUGGUCGCUGAAACUCUGGCAACCUAAGUGCCCCUGAUAUUGUUAUUUUGUGCCAUGCCUUGUUUCGUGAUGAUUCAUUUAGUAUGGGCGCUAUUAUUGCAAAGCGGUUAAAUCUUAACCGUACUAAGGGCCCCAUCUUGGGAGGCAUUUUCACCUCGCGCCUCGCUACGUACUACAACAUACCAAUUAGGCAUUAUGAGAAGGAAGAAAAAUUGUUGCCUACUGUUCUUCUAGAUUACUAGAGUAUGGUUGCACAUGAUUUCAUUGUUAAGAACAGAAAAGGGAGCUUAACUAUAGACUGUUAUUUGAUAAAAAUCACCCUGAGACUAUUACCUUGCCUGCUCCUUCCUUGUUUGAUUUAACUGCAGGCGAGUACCUUGUUCCGUUGGAGGCCGUUCACGCCUACCGGAACCCCACCUCAGUUACAGAGCCAGAUCCGGAACCACAAUUUGUUCCUCCACGCCAAUCUGUUUACCAGUGGAAUCCGGAGGAGAUGGCCAGCCAGUGGCAACCUGGGGCUUCAUCUCAGUACGACCCAACUACAACUUUGGAUAUCCGCCAGGCCAGCCGUGGCAAUAGACCAGCUUAGGCCAAAAGCCUAAGCUUGGGGGAAUACGUAUUUCUCACCGACAUUACAUUUAUAUUUACACACUCAUGCUAGUUGUCGGUGCUCAUACUUUUUCACUGUAAUAUCCAUGCUAUUUUAUUUUCCUUUUUGUGCUUUCUUCUUGUGUGUUUGAUAAAUCAUAAGAAAAAACAAAAAAUAGUAGUAGCUUUUAGCUAGUUUACUUUCUUGCUAGUAGUAAUAAUUAAAAGAAAACCCAAAAAGAUUUCUCGUUCUUCUUUUGCUUCUUGGGAGCUUUCCCGUGUAAAUAGUUUUAUUUCUUUUCUUUUCUUUGGGGGUCGAUAAGAGAAGACCAUACUGAAACUAUUGAAGUGGCUCUUAUAUGCAUUAUUGUUGAUUUAACCAAGAGCCCAUAUUGCCUUGUCUUCUCCUGUUUAUUGAAUACUCGCAGAUUCUAGCUUAGUCCAAUGCACGUGCAUUAUUAUUAUUAUUCACAUCGUUCGGUCGUGCAAGUGAAAGGCAAUAAUGACGAUAUAUGAUGGACUGAUUGAGAUGGGAGAAGCUGGUAUGAACUCGACCUCUCUUGUUUUUGUAAAUAUGAUUAGUUCAUCGUUCCUGACUUAGCCUAUUAUGAAUAAACAUGUUUGCAAUGACAAUUAGAGAUUAUAGUUGCUUAUGCCACACUUAAUUAGCUAGGAGUUUAUAAUGGUUUACCUUGCGUGCCAACAUGCUAUUAAAAUGGUUGUGAUGUGGUAUUAUAGGGUGGUAUCCUCCUUUGAAUGAUUCAAGUGAGUUGACUUGGCACAUGUUCACAGAUGUAGUUGAAACAAAUCAACAUAGCCUUCAUGAUAUUUAUGUUCAUGGUGGAUUAUAUCCUACUCAUGCUUGCACUCAGUGUAUAUUUAUUUUAGUGCAUGUUCAUGACUGUUGUGGCUCUCUAGUUGGUUGCUUCCCAGUCUUUUGCUAGCCUUCACUUGUACUAAGCGGGAAUACUGCUUGUGCAUACAAUCCCUUAAACCCCAAAGUUAUUCCAUAUGAGUCCGCUAUAACUUCCUAUAUGCGGUAUCUAACUGCUGUUCCAAGUAAAUUUGUAGGUGCCAAACUCUAAACCUUCAAAUGAAAUUCUGUUUUGUAUGCUCGAAUAGCUCAUGUAUCAACUAGGGUUGUCUGUAUCUUCCAUGCUAGGUGGGUUAUUCUCAAGAGGAGUGGACUCCGCUCCCCACUCACGAGAAAAUGGCUGGUCAGCGGGAUGCCUAGUCCCAUGCUUUAUGCAAAUCAAAUCAAAAUAAUUGCAAACAGAACUCCCCCGGGACUGUUGUUAGUUGGAGGCACUCGUUGUUUCGAGCAAGCCAUGGACUAAUGCUUGUUGGUGGAGGGGGAGUAUAAACUUUACCACUCUGUUUGGGAACCACCUAUAAUGUGUGUAGCAUGGAAGAUAUCGCCAUCUCUUGGUUGUUAUGUUGACAAUGAAAGUAUGCCGCUCAAAAUAUUAUUUAUCUCUAUUUCAAAAACCGAGCUCUGGCACCUCUACAAAUCCCUGCUUCCCUCUGCGAAGGGCCUAUCUAUUUACUUUUAUGUUGAGUCAUCACCCUCUUAUUAAAAAGCACCAGCUAGAGAGCACCGCUGUCAUUUGCAUGCAUUACUAUUAAUUUAUAUUGGGUAUGACUAUGACUGAAUCUCUUUUACCAUGAAUUACAAUGUUUAGUUAGUCCUUGAUCUUCAUAGGUGCUCUGCAUUUAUGUUUUGUGGUCUUAGAAAGGGCUAGCGAGAUACCAUCUUGUUAUAUCAUAUCAUGAUUGUUUUGAGAAAGUGUUGUCAUCCGAGAUUUAUUAUUAUUGCUCGCUAGUUGAUUAUGCCAUUGACAUGAGUAAACAUGAGACCUAAAUGUUAUUGUGAAUAUGGUUAGUCAUAAUCUUUGCUGAAAACUUGAAUGCUGGCUUUACAUAUUUACAACAACAAGAGCAAACAGAGUUUGUAAAAGUUGUUCUUUAUCACUUUCAGUUUAUCAACUGAAUUGCUUGAGGACAAGCAAAGGUUUAAGCUUGGGGGAGUUGAUACGUCUCCGUCGUAUCUACUUUUCCAAACACUUUUGCCCUUGUUUUGGACUCUAACUUGCAUGAAUUGAAUGGAACUAACCCAGAAUGAUGCUGUUUUCAGCAGAAUCGCCAUGGUGUUAUUUAUGUGCAGAAACAAAAGUUCUCGGAAUGACCUGAAACUUCACGGAGAUUUUUUUGGAAAUAAUAAAAAAUACUGGCAAAAGAAUCAAGGCCAGGGGGCCCACACCCUUUCCACGAGGGUGGGGGGAGCGCCUGCCCCCCUGGGCGCGCCCCCUGCCUCGUGGGCACCCUGGUGCUCCACCGACCUCAACUCCAACUCUAUAUAUUCGUGCUCGGGGAGAAAAAAAAUCAGAGAGAAAGAUUCAUCACGUUUUACGAUACGGAGCCACCGCCAAGCCCUAAACUCUCUUGGGAGGGCUGAUCUAGAGUCCAUUCGGGGCUCCGGAGAGGGGAAUCCGUCGCCAUCGUCAUCAUCAACCAUCCUCCAUCACCAAUUUCAUGAUGCUCAGCGCCGUGCGUGAGUAAUUCCAUCGUAGGCUUGCUGGACAGUCAUGGGUUGGAUGAGAUUUAUCAUGUAAUCGAGUUAGUUUUGUUAGGGUUUGAUCCCUAGUAUCCACUAUGUUCUGAGAUUGAUGUUGCUAUGACUUUGCUAUGCUUAAUGCUUGUCACUAGGGCCCGAGUGCCAUGAUUUUAGAUCUGAACCUAUUAUGUUUUCAUGAAUAUAUGUGAGUUCUUGAUCCUAUCUUGCAUGUCUAUAGUCACCUACUAUGUGCUAUGAUCUGGCAACCCCAAAGUGACAAUAAUCGGGACCACUCCCGGUGAUGAGCAUAGUUUGAGGAUUUCAUGUAUUCACUAUGUGUUAAUGCUUUGGUCCGGUACUCUAUUAAAAGGAGGCAUUAAUAUCCCUUAGUUUCCAUUAGGACCCCGCUAUCACGGGAGGGUAGGACAAAAGAUGUCAUGCAAGUUCUUUUCCAUAAGCACGUAUGACUAUAUUCAGAAUACAUGCCUACAUUACAUUGAUGAAUUGGAGCUAGUUCUGUGUCACCCUAUGUUAUGACCGUUACAUGAUGAACCGCAUCCAGCAUAAUUCUCCAUCACCGAUCCAAUGCCUACGAGCUUUUCACAUAUUGUUCUUCGCUUAUUUACUUUUCCGUCGUAACUGUUACAAUCACUACAAAACCCAAAAAUAUUACUUUUGCUACCGUUAUCAUUACUAUCAUACUACUUUGCUACUAAAUACUUUGUUGCAGAUACUAAGUUAUCCAGGUGUGGUUGAAUUCACAACUCAACUGCUAAUACUUGAGAAUGUUCUUUGGCUCCCCUUGUGUCGAAUCAAUAAAUUUGAGUUGAAUACUCUACCCUCGAAAACUGUUGCGAUCCCCUAUACUUGUGGGUUAUCAGUGGACAGGGUGUGGGCCCCCUGGCCUUGAUUCUUUCGCCAGUAUUUUUAUUAAUUCCAAAAAUAUUCUCCGUGAAGUUUCAGGUCAUUUCAAAAACUUUUAUUUCUGCACAAAAAUAACACCAUGGCAAUUCUGCUGAAAACAGCGUCAGUCCGGGUUAGGUCCAUUCAAAUCAUGCAAGUUAGAGUCCAAAACAAGGGAAAAAGUGUUUGGAAAAGGAGAUACGAUAUAGACGUAUCAGGCCUCACCGCCCCACCCUACUCCCACCGCUGGCCAAGCCAUCCCUUUACUGUCUACUCAUCCACAACUCGUGUUAUUCUGCGGUGACGGCAGCCUUACACCGCAGCCGAACCAGUCAACCCUCAUACUCCCCUCCGCAUGGGCAUCCACUAUCGCGUCUUCCCCGGCUCCGCGUUAUCCCCUUCUAGUCCUCGCCAUCGUCCACCGCCUUGGUGCUCUCGGCGCAGCGUGGUCAACAUGUUCAAGGAACGACUUCCAUCGGAAGAGGACUGAACAUGGAGAGGCUGAUAGUUGGGUCCACGGCCGCAGUAAGGAAGGGCAACCUUAUUACAUGUAAAAUAAUUAUUCCUCCACCUGACAGUGGGGACCCAUCGGAAGGGACUCUGUAUUUUACGAAAAAAAUGUUUCCUCCUGACAACCGGGACCUACCACUACAUCUUCGCACGCAAGGAAGUGCCUCCAUAUUAGGCGCGAAAAAAAUGAAUCCUCCCCCUAACAGGUCGGACCCACCAUCAAUAACUUCGCACGCAAGGAAGUGCCUCCUUAUCCUCCCUGACAGUCGAGACCUACCUGGUCGAAGCGUUCGUAGCGUUGUCAUUCUGGUCGCGAACAUGUACGUACAUACUAGUCGAUCAGUCUAUCUGCAGGCUGCAACGAUGAACCAUGGCCGAGUAAGGGAGGGCACGUGUCGUAGUAGAGGCGCUGACGUAGCAUGUACACGUACGUACAGCUAGGGUGCAAGAAAGUAAAUAUGUCCACGUAUGUACAUACGGGCGGGGUCUCGAACGCCUACUCGCGCAUACGUAGGGCCAGGGCUCAUGUACAUGGAGAGGCAGCGAUGGCGUCCUGUUCAUCGGCAGCCAACCGGCUGGGUCGGAACAGAGAAACUGCGUCGUCGUGUUCACCGGGAGGCAACGGAAUGCGUCGUGUUCAUUGGGAGCCAACCGCCUUGUACGGAACAGCCAAAACGAGGCCUGGCAUACCGCAGAACGAAGGAAACGGCCUUGUGUUCGACCGCCUACGGUCAAAACGGGAUCCUGUUCACUGGGAGGGGUGUGGCGUACCGCAAAACAGAGGAAACAGACUUCUCUUUGACCUCUUACGGUCGAAAUGGGGUCCUGUUGAACGGGAGGGGUGUGGCGUGCCGCAAAAUAGAGGAAAUGGACUUCUCUUCAACCUCCUAUGGUCGAAACGGGGGCCCUGUUCAUCGGGUGGGGUGUGGCGUACGCAAAAUGGGACUCCACGUGCUACUGUUCAUCCACCAUCUACUGCCUCGCUCCAGCCUCCAUGGGCUAGUGUUCGUCCACUGUCGACCUCCUCCAGCCUCCACCUGCGACUGUUCAUCCAUGGAGUCUCCCUCCUGCCUCCACCAGCUAUUGUUCAUCCACGGGCUCCUAUUCAUACAGCCUCCACCGCUCCUCCAUUGGCUACUGUUCAACCAGCCCUCUCCACGGGGUCCUGUUCAACCACCCCUCCAUGUACUGUUCAUCCAGCCCUCCACGGGCUACUGUUCAACCAGCCCUCCACCGACUGUUGUUCAUCCAGCCCUCCAUGGGAUGUUGUUCAUCCACCCCCAACCGGCUCGAUCGGGGUCCUGUUCAUCCAGCGGCAACGGUCUCUACUACCAUGGAGUCCUAUUAAAUCAUCCAACCCCCAUCGGGAACUGUUCUCCAACCCCCAACAAUGCUCACUAUUCAUCAAGAGGCAGCAGGUUCGAUCGGCUUCACUUAGCAGCAGUAGCACAGGAAUCACUCGAUCGGGUUCAGUUAACAGCCAGGGAUCGACCAAUCACUCGGGUGCAGUAACGCGUAGCCUGCAGUGCAAUCGCUCGGGUUCAGUAGGUGAACGCCUCGCUCGGGUUCAGUUAGAGCCCAACGCCUCACACCCACGCGUGCACGUGUACAAGAGAAACGCGCAUCGCUCGGCCCCGACAACCCACCGUAACCGGGAACUCCUUGAUAUUUUCCUUGCCCUCACUUCUACCACAGUUUUUUCCGUCAUGGACGGCCCAAAGAAUGUCAUGCAGCUUCGUCUCCGGCCCGCCCAGGAUGAAAAGCCCAUUUUCUAUCAUGAUUUUUUGUCAUAGAAGUAGGAGCCCACCAAAUCUAUGAUGAUACCAGGUUUUGUCACAAUUAUCGUCAUAGAAGUGUCAUAAGCAUGACAGAAAUAAAUUUUGUUCGGCCUAAAAUGUCAUGGAUCUGUCUUUUUUUGUAUUGUGAGCCUUGCUUCCUUAGGAUCUACAAAAUACUGCUGCAGACUGGGAGUGAUCGGAAAGUACCAUACAACUUUCUGAAUAGCUUUCUUUCCUGCCUUCUUGUAUCCAGAAGCAUUGCACACUGGACAGUUGUUUUUUUUCGUGUGCUCCACCCGAUAAAUGAUGCAAUCGUUGAUGCAUGUGUGGUACCUAAUGUACGGAAAAUCAAAAGGGCAAACGAUUUUCUUGUCCUCCUUGACACUAGUAGGACACAGGUUCCUCGAGGGAAGAACUUUAUUUUCUAGAUACUUCAAAUGCUCAUCGAGGCUUUUGUUUGUCCAUUUGUUUUUGGCCUUCGUCUUUAGAAGUUCGAGCGUGAAACUUAAGUGGGUCACCUCGGGAUCACAACCGUCAUACAAUGGAGUCUUCGAGUGUACUUCAAGUUGCGCCAGCUUGGCCUCCUCUCUAGAAGCAGCUCUCUUGCUACUCGUACUCUUGGGAAGGAGGUCUCGAACAUGAGGGUCAUGCAUGACUGCACUUAGUAGCAUCGAAGACUGUGGCGUGACCGCCGGCUCUUCUCCGCCAUGUCCGGACUCUUCAUCACCGUGUCUGGAAUCUUAUCCGCCGCUGUCGUUUCCGAACUCUUCCCCGCCGCCAUCGUCUUCGUGUCGAUCGGUCAUCUCUUCGUCCAGCCCCACAUGUCGUUAUUCCCUACCAUGUGGACGUCCUCCUCAUCAUCUUCUUCUUCACUUAUCUACCGAGUAUAGCCAUCCAUGAAACCAUUCAUCAUCAGGUGCGCCUUCAAAGUGCCACGAUCAAAAGGGUCCAAAAGGACUCCUUCUUUGCAUCUUGCACACAGACAUCUAAUCCUAGUCCGAUUAUUUGCAUACAUGUCCAUCACCGUGGAUUGCAUGUAUCGCUCCAUGUUCCAUCCACUCACCUUCAUGACCGACUGCAUGGUAUAACAAGCAAAAGGGUUCUAAACAAAAUGCAUGCAUUCUUCAAAGUCAUAUAAAAGUUUGGCAUGACCUUGCCUAAAAAUAGGACAUAUCGAGUUUGCUCGAAAUUCACCGAAACGGAAAUAAAUCAACAUUUUGGCAAAACAUAAGCAACUUGGGGGCAUUUCACUCGCACAAAUCUCUCCAUAUCCCAAACACACAUAUUCUCAUUCACACACAUAUUCCCAUUCUUGAAAUGAACAACUUUUUACUCACCUAUAUAUCUCCCGAUCGAGAGAGCACGGUUAGAUGAUGAGGUCUUUCGCUACCUAUACAGAUCGUAAGUGUGGAUGGCUAAAUAGCUAGCUAGAUCUAGUUGUCAGGGAGGAGAGAUGACUCUAGCUAACUAAUGGAGAGGGAGUUAUGGUGGAGGGGGCAUUAAUGGGGAGAGAAGAGAGGUAGGAGGAAGAGAGGAGAUGAGAGGCCAUUUAUGGAGGAGAGUUAUGGUGGAGGGGGACAUUAAUGAGGAGAGAAGAGAGGUAGGAGGAAGAGAUAAGAAGCGCAACAAUGGUGGAGAGGGGAGAGGGUAAAGGAGGGGGGGGAGAGGGCAAAGUGGGGGAGGAUGGGAGGGGGUGAAAAGGUGGCACCAGCCACAACUAGCAGUAGUGCUGCUUCCCAGAAAGCGCUGCUGCUAUGGUACUUAGUAGUAGCGCUUUUCCAGGAAAAGCGCUACUAUUAAGUAGGGCCCAUUAGCAGUAGUGGUGCUGUAAAACAAAGCACUACUGCUAAAAUCUUAGUAGUAGUGUUGUUUUAUGGGAAGCGAUGCUACUACAGCUACCGUCGGUGGCAUGGUCCACACAGUAGAAGUGGUUUUUGUUUUCCAGCACUACUGCUAAAGAGUUACUAGUAGCGCUGCCCUAGAACAGCGCUACUGCUAACUAGCAGCAGCGGUUUCUUUUUUCCAGCGCAACUACUGAGGUCCUACCUAUAAACAUUUCCCUAGUAGUGGUGGCUUCUCUUGAGAAAAAUAGCAAACGGUGGGUAAACGAAUUACUGUUGGGCAAUUGAUAAAACUUCAAACAAUCAUCACGAUAUGCAGGCAAUGAUCAUUAUAUAGGCAUCACGUCCAAGAUUAGUAGACCGACUCCUGCCUGCAUCUACUACUAUUACUCCACACAUCGACCGCUAUCCAGCAUGCAUCUAGUGUAUUAAGUUCAUGGAGAAACGGAGUAAUGCAAUAAGAACGAUGACAUGAUGUAGACAAGAUUUAUUUAUGUAGAAAUAGACCCCAUCUUGUUAUCCUUAAUAGCAAUGAUACAUACGUGUCGGUUCCCCUUCUAUCACUGGGAUCAAGCACCGUAAGAUCAAACCCAUUACGAAGCACCUCUUCCUAUUGCAAGAUAAAUAGAUCAAGUUGGCCAAACAAAACCCAAAUAUCGGAAAAGAAAUACGAGGACAUAAGCAAUCAUGCAUAUAAGAGAUCAAAGAAGACUCAAAUAACUUUCAUGGAUAAAAAGAUAGAUCUGAUCAUAAACUCAAAGUUCAUCGAAUCCCAACAAACACACCGCAAAAAGAGUUACAUCAUAUGGAUCUCCAAGAGACCAUUGUAUUGAGAAUCAAAAGAGAGAGAGAGAGAGAGAGGAAGCCAUCUAGCUACUAACUGCGAACUUUAGGUCUACAAUGAACUACUCACGCAUCAUCAGAGAGGCACCAAUGAACAUGAUGAACCCCUCCUUGAUGGUGUCUAGAUUGGAUUUCGUGGUUCUGGAACUUGCGGCGGCUGGAAUUAAUUUUUGUCGACUCCCUAGGGUUUCUAGAAUAUUGGGGUAUUUAUAGAGCAAAGAGGCGGUGCAGGAGAUCACUGAGGUGGGCACAACCCACCUGGGCGCGCCUGGGGGCCCAGGCGCGCCCUGGUAGGUUGUGCCCCCCUCAGGGCACCCCCAAGUGCUUCUCCGGCCCAUUGAGUGCCUUCUGGUCCAUAAAAUUCCACAAAAAGUUCCGUUGCAUUUGGACUCCGUUUGAUAUUGAUUUCCCGCGAUGUAAAAAACAAGCAAAGAACAGCAACUGGCACUUGGCACUAUGUCAAUAGGUUAAAACCAAAAAAUAAUAUAAAAUGAUUUUAAAAUGAUUGUAAAAUAUCCAAGAAUGAUAAUAUAACAGCAUGGAACAAUCAAAUAUUAUAGAUAUGUUGGAGACGUAUCAGUCUACGAAACUUAGAAAUAUUAAUCUCAUGAGAUACAUCACCAAAGUUAACACUGACUAUUUCCCUAGUACAAUCAAUCUUAGCAUUAACUGUGUUCAAAAAAGGUGUACCAAAUAUAGAGGGACAAAAAUCCUCUUGUGAAGAUCCAAGAACUAGAAAAUUAGUAGGGCAUUUGAUCUUACCACAUAAGACUUCAACAUCUCUAAUAAUCCCAAGCGGUGAAAUAGUAUAUUUGUUUGCAAGCUUAAUAGUAAAAUCAAUGUCUUCUAUCUUAAUAGGUGCAAUAUUAUUCAUGACUUCUUGAUAUAAAGUAAAAGGAAUAGCUCUUACACUAGCACCCAUGUCACCCCAACCAUCAUAACAGUGAUCUCCUAUUUUAACAGAAACAACAGGCAUGCCAACAACAGGUUUGUUUUUAUCAGAUGUUUCUGAUUUCGCAAUACAAGUUGCUUAAUCAAAAAAAUAUAUGACAUGUCCAUCAAUAUUAUCACCCAAUGAUCUUUAAUCAUUGCACUAUUAGGUUCCACUCUAAUUUGUUCAUAGGGUCUAUGUGUUUUAGCAUUACUCUUAUUAACCACAGUUGAAGCUUUAGCAUAUUCCUUAAUCCUAACUAGGAAAGGAGGUUUCUCGAUAUAAGAAAUAGGCACAACUGGGUCUACAUUAUAAAAAUGAUUGUUUCAUCUUUAACUAUAAUAGUUUCCUGAAACAAUUUUUCAAUAGGUGGAUGAAAUUUAAACCACUUCUCCUUAGGGAGAUCAACAUGAGUAGCAAAUGAUUUGCAAAAGGUAGCUACUAUCUCAUAGUCAACUCCAUAUUUAGCAGGAUGAUUCAAGACUGCCUAGGAUGGGCUUAUGAAUAUAUACACCAGUGUCGCAAAUCUAGAGAGGAGAUAUGGUGAUCAAGUUAGACUUUGAAAAGCUUUUAAUACUAUUGAACAUCAGGUCAUCAUUGACAUAUUCAGAGCAAAAGGUUUUGGAGAGAAAUGGAUCUCACGGAUAAAUCUUAUAUUCACAUCUGCAUCUUUUGCUGUUAUGCUCAAUGGAGUUCCUGGGAAGAAAUUUUACUGCAAAAGAGGGGUCAGACAAGGUGAUCCUUACUCACCUUUGAUUUUUGUUCUGGCUGCUGACCUCCUUCAGUCCAUCUUUAAUAAGGCUAUGAGAUUGGGGAUUAUAACUCCCCCUCUUCAAGUCAACUCUUGCCCUGAUUUUCCAAUUGUACAAUAUGCUGAUGACACCCUGGUCCUUAUGAAAGCUAAUGCCAGAGAGCUCAUUUGUAUUAAGUCACUUCUCAACACUUUUGCUGCAGCCACUGGUUUAAAGGUAAAUUAUGGUAAGUCAGUCAUAGUGCCCAUCAAUAUUGCAGAGGACAGAGUGGAUAUCUUCACAAACACAUUGCAAUGCUCCAGAGGUCACUUCCCUGUCACAUACUUGGGAUUACCUCUGGGAAUUUACAAACCAACUGUGGAGCAAUGUUUGCCACUAGUUCAAAGAAUUGCCAAAAGACUUGCUGGACUUUCUACAUUCAUGACCCAAGCAGGAAAAUUACUAUUGGUAAAAUCAGUACUUGCAUCAUUAACCAUUUUCUUCAUGUGCUGCCUGGAUGUUCCUGUUACUAUCAAGCAGCAGAUCAUUAAAUAUUUGAGACAUUGUCUGUGGAGGAGCCCUGAUUUGGAGGAUUGUAGACCAGCACUAGUGGCAUGGAAAACUGUCUGUAGACCCAAGAGUCAAGGAGGUUUAGGAGUCAUGGAUAUAUUCACACACAAUAAGACAUUGCUCAUGAAAAAUCUUCAUAAGUUUUUCAACAGACAUUAUAUUCCCUGGGUAAAUCUUGUUUGGGAGACAUACUAUAGUACUGGGAAUCUGCCAGGCGACAGCAGGGAGGGAUCCUUCUGGUGGAAGUCAAAUUUAGCUCUUAUUGAUCAAUACAAAGCAAUUGCUAGAUGUAAUGUGGGAGAUGGUCAAAGUGCUCUGUUUUGGGAUGAUUGUUGGCAUGAUUUUGUCAUGAAACACAAAUUUUACCACCUCAUUACUUUUGCCAGAGAUACCUCUAUUAAUGUCAAUCAAGUCAUCCAUACUGAGUAUCUCCAGGAUUUAUUUCACCUAUCAUUGACCACCCAAGCAUAUGAGGAAUUUCUUGAAGUGGAAAAUAUUUGCAUAUCUUUGAGAAACUCAGACCACUUGCAAUUGAGGGACACAUGGAGCUACAUAUGGGGCAAUGAAUUUUAUUCCUCAACCAAAGCUUAUAAGGUGUUAAUUGGAUAUAAGACAACUCCACCUCAUUUCAGUUGGAUAUGGAAGAGCUCAUGUCAACCUAAACACAAAAUUUUCUUCUGGCAACUGCUGCAUGACAGAGUUAACACUAGGAAUCUGCUAAGAAGAAGAACUUUGAGCUGGAUGAUUAUAACUACUAGUCGUCAACCCGUGCAUUCGCACGGGCUAGUCAAUAAGUUUUAUGCAUUUAUUUUGGCAUAAUUAAUAUCUUUCAUGAAAGGAAAAAAGUGAAACACCCAUCCAUCCAAGUCAUUCUCAAGCGCAUGUCUGGUGUCUCCAUUUUUUGUUUUUUACUAAUUCAAUUCUCAAUAUGAUUCAAAUAAUUUCUUCUAACUCUUUGGCAUUUAUUUUUGUUUUUUUCAAUAACCUUGCUUCUUUGUAUAUUCGAUAUGUGCUCAUCAAAAUAAUUAUAAUUUAUGUUUGCCGUGUUUAUGUUUUUUCAGUGUCAAAGUCAUUACAUACUAUAGAAAUUUGAAGCAAUUGAUUAUAGGGACUGGAAGGAGAGAAGAUUUAUUGGGAAUUAGUGAUUUGAGGCUUGUAUCAACUACUUGUACAAAAUAUAUGAGGAUGAUAUCACUACAUACUAAUUUGGUCGCGUUGAGGCUUGUAUCAACUACUUGUAGAAAUAUAUAUGAGGAUGAUAUUACUACAUACUAAUUUGACCCCUAAGCAACAAUGAACCAUGCGUCCUUGCCAUGCAUGUGCUGCAGCAAAACACAAUGCAUGUGAAGUUGACACAUAAAGAACUUCAAUUUUGCCACAAGCACUGACAGAAAAAAGUGGAAUUAUAUAUCAAUCGUCAAUACAAAAAGGAAAUUAUAGAUCAAUCUAUGGAUACAAACGUUGGUUUCAAUGUUGCCAUUGUAAACAGAUCUCCAUGCAUCAAUGGAUGGUAGUACAAUCCUUCAUGUGUUUGUAUCGAGACUACAGAUUAAAGUUCUCUACUAGUCACGGAGCUAAUUUUAGGUUAUUGUUAAGUUGAUGGUGCUACUGCCUAGCCUCCACGGAUCAACGACGGCAAUGUCUAGCUUAAGAGUUCGGUGCGUGCAUGUUGAAGGAUAUCUUGAUACUCCAAGUGAUGCACGCUUGACAUAAUGUAUUUAAGUUAAAACACGAAAUCGCACACGUGCUUCAACAAUAGUAUGAUAUUCAUCAACUUUUUCAUCUGUAUAUGUGCGAUUUGGAUCUCCUCUGGCCCUAAUUUAUUUGGUACAGGUUGCUCUAAAACGCUUAAAUGUAUUUUCAUCACAAAAUACUAUCUUUAUCCUCUUAUUAAUAAUGCGAUUGAAAACUUUGUUUGCUUGCCAACUCCACUGUCUACUACUAAAUCACAUUAAUAUAUGAUGAUAUUGGGAAGAAACCCUGAAUGGCUCCUUUCAGCUCGGCUAAAAAAUACAGAAAAAGUGUUUUUUAAGUUCCAUCAAAACUAUACAUUGAGAUGUGUACCCUCUAAUUAAUGUUUAUUAGGAUUUAUUUUGUAUGCUACACUAAAAGACUGAGAAAAUAUAUUUUUGAUCCUACGCAUAUACAUAAUGGGCGUUUACAUGUGGGAAACAAAUCAAGAUUUACUGAAAUUUUAGAGGGAUUUGAUUUGUUUUUCGAUUUUUUUGCCUGUUUGAAGCUUGGGAUCAACCAUACAAUUAUCUUGGAAAGAAGCGAACUAAGAGAAAGGUCUGACAGGCAAUGCUACCAUAGUGUAAGAAAUAGCAGUCCAAGACACUGUAAAAUACAUAGAACCGAGUCAUGCAUGUAAUACGUAAUGAGUUUCAUCUAUAAACAGCUACAAAGAUAAAACUGUAGAUCUAUUAAAAAGCAGCGAGUACCUUUCUUGAGUAUGAACCACGCAUAUGAGAUUAUCUCUGGACAAAAGGAUGUUGUUGCUACAAUUCUUUCUCCAGCAAUUGGAUAUUAACCCUAGCAGCAGGACUCCAAAAAGUAAGGCUUGUCUAGGUAGUUCUUUCUCCAUGUGUGCUCGCCUGCAUGCUUUGCAUCUGUUUUGUUAUUGAAGGGAGAGCAACCUAGGUAACACGGAAGGGUCAGGAUGAGGAACUGAUGGAACCAAGCUCAUGCAGUCCUGUCAAAGUUUAACUAUGCAUCUUGCAGUAUGCUAGCACAUACUGACCGCAGGUCAUCAUAUACGCAUAGCAACGUACAUCACUCCCCAUACAAUAAGUGAUAGAUGAUUAGGGGCAAGAAAUAAUCAAUAGAGUUUCUGAAGGAACCGAUGGAACCAAGCUCAUGCAGUCCUGUCAACGUUUAACUAUGCAUCUUGCAGUAUGCUAGCACAUACUGGCCGCAGGUCAUCAUAUACGCAGAGCAACAUACAUCAGUCCCCAUACAAUAAGUGAUAGAUGAUUAGGGGCAAGAAAUAAUCAAUAGAGUUUCUGAAGCUCACAAUUUCUUUUCAUGUACGUCAGUCCAUGCAAUCUACAAAAUAAUUAAACAAACCUUCAAUGUCUCGAAUGAAGCAACUUGAAGCCACAACACAAAGCUGAGUACUUUGGUUAUUCUUCCCGAGCUCCUUAAGGAAGACGCUAGUGUAUUUUGAAAUCUGAAUCCUGCUAUGCUAAUACGCUGGGUCUCCUUUCCUAAUUAAUAACAGUCUGCACUACUUCCUACACGGCCAUCAGGAAAUAAAGCAGAAAAAGCACGUUGAAGCAUCUCACCAUCCCGCGUACACCUCCGCCGUAACACCAACCAACUCAUAGCUAGUUUCAGGGCCAGCAGAUGUUGCCUUCUGCGCUGAAGCACCACUAGCACCACUGAUCAGCAGGUAUAUGUGCAGUGAUGCCAUGUCAGAAUCCCUCAGAAAAAGCUCGAGAAAAUCAUUGGAGUUAGCUACCAGCAGUAGUAAAGAGAUAGAGGAUCCGGAUGGGAGUUAUACAGAGAAAAACAAAGCUUACUUUUACGAAGAGGUUGAUCGAUUCCAGGUAGAUACGCUAGGAUUGUAUGUAAGUACACGUAAUAGAUGAGUUUCUUCGUGCCGCUGACGCUGCCAGUGUUGUGUAGAUCAAACCUGGCUGACAAAAUCAAUUACUUUACCUGUGAGCAUCUCGGGAGUCAAGACAGCCUUAAUAGGUUUAGCAGUGCAGGAUCAAGGGCAUAUCUGACCUCGUUACAGACCCUGCUUUCAGUGAAGUUGCUGCUACCGGUUUUGUCUAAGAAGACACGUAGACAUCCAUAUUGAUCUUGAACUCCGGUAUGAACUGAAAAUUGUCCAGACUCCAUUGAUUGUGAAGAGCACCAUUAGGAUCGUCACCAUCAGCUUAAUCAAUUUCCCAACUAAUCGAUUUCCCUUACCACAGCGACCUACGGCAGCAUAUGUCUAAGGCAAUUUCUUCCUCCCUCCUUCAAUCCUCCUCAAACUCCUUUGUGCAUCCUCCUACCAUCCUGCAGCGAGGACCAAGAGCAAUACGAACAACAUCUUCUACUCAAUCCUAUCUGCAAUCUCGCCUUCCUCUGGUAUCCUCUCCGCCAGAUAUUCCCCGUUGACCCUCCUCAAGCGAGGAGAAGCAGGAAUCGCACGCACUGUUAUACGAUCUAUCACUCGAGGAGUUCAGCCAUGCCAGGAGCAGCCGCCUCUUGCCUUUGCAACGCCAUGGUCCUUGUCAGGAUCUUCAUGCCGAUGUCCUUCUCUACUUCCUCCAGAUAUCAAAUCGAGUUUGAUGUUCAUCCGCAACAAUUUUCGUAGUAUGAGGAGCCACAGGGAGAAAAAUGUUGCCCAAGGAUUAUUUUGCGUGAGGAUUCUUCGGGGAAGGAUUGAUCGUGUAGGAGAAGUAUGAUAGAUUGGUUUUCUUUACAUUACAGGUACCCUAGAUUGGUUUUUACAGCUGCGUUAAGUUGGUUUUUUCUUAGAUUGCAAGGAUUAUAUGAUUCGAUCCACACCAAUAUAACUCGGUCCCACCAGAUUAACGGCCGGUAAUUUCUAAUUAACGUGGGAAUUUCUGGGGAGUCUGUAAUUAGUAUAGGUAUAGAUAGAUAGAUGCUGUCAGAAAUUGUCACCAGGAGGAGACUUUACAUCAUCUUUUUUUGGAGUUGCCCUUUUGCUGCCCAAUGUUGGGAUUACAUUUGCCCAACCAGAACAAAUAACUUGUCAGUUUUGGAAGCAUUUCAAGACCUUCAAGACAAACUGCAGCUUCCUUUCUUUAUGGAGAUUAUUAUACUGGGUUCUUGGGCUAUUUGGAUAUCUAGAAACAACAAGAUCUUUGAACACAUUAAUCCCUCCUUUCAGGGUUGGAAACACAUCUAUUUGGAAGAGCUCAAGUUAUUGAAAUUCAGGAUGAAGAAUAAUUUACUGCCUCAAUUUUCAGCUUGGUUAGAGUCCAUCUUGUAAUUAUAGGUGUAGUUUAGAUUUUUCUUUGGUAGUUUCUCUCUCUUUUUCUUCUUCCUUUGUUCUUUUUCUUUCUUCUCAUUCCUUUUCUUCUCUUCUUUCUUUUCUUUUCUUUCUUUCUCUUUUCUGGGCUUACCUCAAGCCCUUAAGACAAUGUUCUCUUUCUUUCUUUUAAUUAAUAAAAGUUGCAGUGGGGUUUUACCCUACUGUUUAUAGUAAAAAAUAGUACUAAACUUAUGAAAAGCAUCGGUUUCCAUAAAAGAUUUAACACAAUCGAACUCAAUAUUUAUACCUAACUCUUUACCUUUGUCGAAUUCCCAAUCUUCAGAGUUGCGUUUAAUUCUUUCCAAAAAAUUCCAUUUUAAUUCAAUAGUUCUCUUCAUAAAGGAACAAGUAGAAGAAGUAUUGAGUAUGGAUUGAUAACUAUCAGAAAGCCAAGCAUAAUUUUUUGAAUAACUAUUUCUCUUCAGAGCUCGUCAUUGGGGCAUGUAUGCGUCAUAUAUUUAAGCCUCCCCCAAGAUUGAGCGAUACUUUAUCCUUCACAAGGACAAAAAUUAUAUAUAUAAUUCCGAUCACGAUGAACCAAAAUGCAUAGGAUAAAACUUUUGAUGACAUUACAGCUUCAGCCGGUUCCAAUCCCAUGUUCCAGUAUCAUCCAAUAGCCUAUACCAUGUCAAUGCCUUUCCCUACAAAGAUAAAAGGAAUACCUUCAUAUUAACUCCAUCCUCGGAUAAACCUGCAAGCUUAAACCAUCCACAAAUUUUAUCUAUAUAUAUAUAUAUAUAUAUAUAUAUAUAUAUAUAUAUAUAUAUAUAUAUAUAUAUAUAUAGUGCAUAUCAGGAUGUAUCGUUCCAUCUCCUGCAUAAGGAUUUGCUAGCAGUUUCUCUAACAUACCUGAAGGAGAAUCUCAUAAUAAAUAUUUUCAGUAGGUUUAGUAGGUUGAGGGUAAACUAUUAUUGCUUCCAGUUGAGGUGAAGAUACCCCGAACAAACCCUCAAAGGAUUAUUUUCCAUAGUGACAAGUGACAAUAAAUUUUAGCGUGUAAUAUAAAUGUUUCCUCACCAAAUUCGACUUACCAAAGGAGCUUCACUCCCCGGAAAUGGUGCCAUAAAAGAUUGUUGAUGACCCACAAUUAUAGGGGAACAAUUGUAGUCAUUUCCGUAAGUAAGAGAGUCGAACCCAACGAGGAGCGGCAGGAAAUGAUAAGCGGUUUUCAGCAAGGUAUUCUCUGCAAGUACUGGAAGUAGCUGUAACUGAUAGUUUUGUAGCUAGGUAAUUUGUAACAAGUAAUAAGUAGCUAUAGUAACAAAGGUGCAACAAGGUGGACCUAUCCUUUUUACAACAAAGGACAAGCCGGGGCGAUCUCUUAUAUAGAGUGAAACAUUCUCGAGGACACAUGGGAAUUAUCGUCUAGUCACUUUCAUCAUGUUUAGUUGAUUAUCAUUCGCUACUUUGGUAGUUCGAUGUGUGGGCGGACUGGUGCUUGGGUGUUGUUCUUACUUGAUCCCCCCCUCCCCCUCUCGCAAGCAUCUGCAACUAUGAAAGAAGAAUUAACAUAAAGCUAACCAUAGCAUGAAACAUAUGGAUUCAAAUCAGCCCCUUACAGAAUAACACAUAAACUAGGGUUUAAUCUUCUGUCACUCUAGCAACCCAUCAUAUACUUAUUACUCCACAAUGCCUUCCCUUAGGCCCUAGUGUGGUGAAGUGUCAUGUAGUCAACAUUCACAUGACACCACUAAAGGAAGCAACAACAUACAUAUCAUCAAAAUAUCGAACAUGUACUAAUUUCACAUGAUUACUUAUGACAAGACUUCUCCCAUGUCCUCAAGAACAAAGGUAACACUAACAAAUUAUGUUCAUGUUCAAUAUCAAAGGGGUAUUGAAUAUCAAUACGGAUCUGAACAUAUAAUCUUCCACCAAAUAAAUCAACUAGCAUCAACUACAAGGAGUAAUAACCACUAUUAGCAACCCACUACAGGUACCAAUCUGAGUAUUUGGGUCAAAGACUGAAUACAAGAGAUGAACUAGGGUUUGAGAUGAGAUUGUGCUGGUGAAGAUGUUGAUGAAGAUUGGUCCUCCCAUGAUGAAAGGAUCAUUGGUGAUGUUGAUGGCUUCGAUUUCCCUCUCCCAGAGGGAAGUUUCCCUGGCGAAAUCGCUCCGUCGGAGAGCAAAAGUGCUCCUGUCCAGGUUCCGCCUCGAGACGGCGGCGCUUCGUCCCGAAGGCAUUCUUCCUAUUUUUAAUAGGGAAAAUAGCCUCACAUAGUAGAAGAUGGGCACAGGAGGCCUGCCAGGGGGCCCACAAGCACAUAGGGCGCACCCAGGGGGUAGGUCACACCCCCUGAGCUUGUCUCUCCCUGGUGGCCCCGCUCCUAGUAUUUCUUCCACCAAUAUUUUUUAUAUAUCUAUGAUAUAUCUCCGUAAAUGUUUAGGUCAUUUUGAUUUGUGCAGAAUAGCUAUCUCUAUUGUAGCCUUUUCCGGUCCAGAAUUCCCGCCGCCGGCAAUCUCCCUCUUCAUGUGAAACUUUCAAAAUAAGAGAGAAAAGACACAAGAAUAGUAUAAAGUGAAGUAAUGACCCAAAACAUAAUAAAUAACAGUAGAAAAACAUGAUGCAAAAUGGAUGUAUCAAUGAGGCAGAGCCUCUCAAGUGCAAGCGCACCACAAUGACUGGGAAGGGAUGCCAUGACGCUUGGUGGGCAUUCCACCACUGGCGCAAUGAAGACGUCGGCUCAGGUGGCGGCGUGGACACAGAUAGAGGUGUUAGUGUCCUCGUAGGCCAUGCCUACGCACUGUGUGGUACCUCAUAGUAGGGGAACGUGCAACGCAACAUUUUUUUACCAUACACGGUCUCACCAGGAACACUAUGAAGGUGCAGAUUAACGAUCAACUCACCAACAAUACAUAGGGGAAGCGGAGUAUAUGCUGGUGAAGAUUUGCUGAUUCCCACAGCCAGGUUAAACCUCCAUGCCACGAGAAUUUUGCCUAGAUGAUCUGCCGAUCUAGUACCAAAGUAGAUGGUACCUCCAUGGUAUCCGGACAUACUGAUCUAGAGGUUCGGUAGCACUCCAUGGAACAACACAAAAAAAUCAUGGAGAAAACUAGAGGAGAACAACCUAGCAUCGUAUCAAUCUAGAACCAAUCUAGAUCAGAGAGAGAGAGAGAGAUGCGGCGCGGGCAGCAAGAGAGGGGGUAGUUGUGGGCUUUGUGAUGCCUUUGUGCGUCCCCACCCUUAUAUAUAUGUGGAAGGGUCAAGGGAUUGAUCGACCUAGCACCAAGAGUCCUCAACGAGUCAGCCACCCUGGCAGUCCCCAUCUAGGAGGACUCCUCCCUAGGGGUGCCUUGGCACCUUUGGACUUAUUUAUCUAGCCAACUUGGGCCCUUGGUGGCCACUUUCCACCCAAGGUGGUGGGGGUUUGGCCUAUGAGGAAUCUCCUAGAAUCUACUGAAAGUUUUCACUUACACUUCCGGACACUUCUGGGACCUCCCGGGACACAUUUGGAUUCAUUUCAAACAAGAAAACUUCAUCCUCAAACCUUUCUAUUAGAGACUGAAUUGUUUAUGUCUUAUGUGGUUAGUCUACAGUCUCGGUCGAAUUUCGACAUAACAUGUGGAAUUUUUCGGUUCUGUCUCAGGAGUGAUCUUUGGAACAACUGUCGGUGCAUGUUUCAAUCCUCUUAUCUGACCCCGAAGAUUCACCAAUCUCGUCGAGUUGUAUUAAUUGUCCUCCCAUUCACCUUUUUCAUGAUAAAUUCUUUCUCCAGAAACACACUGUCCUUUGCGAAAAACAGUUUUGCCUUCGUUCGGUGAUAGAAGUCAGACCAAACAAUAUUUUGGGGACAAGUAACAAAGUAUCAUUGGGUUGAGCUUAUUCAGUUGUAAAAGCUUUACAUAUCACUAGUACACAAUGGGGCUAUUAAGCGCCCCCCCCCCCCCAAACAUAUCGCACGGGAUAGCAAAAAAACUGUGUGUGAUAACCGCAUCACACACGCUUAGAAAAUAAAAUUGUUUGCAGGAAGAUUAGUUGUGUGCGAUCGUUGGGCCAUCACGCACGACCUGAGAAAGUAAAGAAUUUGAAAAAUUGUGUCGUGAGCGCUAUAGUUCACAUGAUUGUUCAAAAUAAAUUGUGUGUGAUGAUUGAGCUUUCACACACAACUAUUCUGCAAAGAACAGUACAGAUCACGCCGCCUUGUGUACAGGUGUUAUUUUUGCCAGAGUCACAUACAAUUCAUUCUUAGAACACGUGUGGGAUUGACAUGAGGGUAAAUAAAUCCUCCAUGUAUAGUUUGAUUCACAAAAAUAAUUAAGACAUUGAGUAGGAAAAGGGAUAGAAAUAGGAAAUUCAAAAUAUUAUCCAAUAGUUCAUUACAUGAUAUAUAUCAUCACAUAUAUGUGAUCAUACAAAUUAACUACUAGUACAAAUACAUAAAUAAUGAAAGAAAACUAUACUAAAAAUUAAUAAUCUCUCCUUAGGGCCUUUUGACUGCGGCACUCCACCAGCUCCCUGAUGCGCGCCGGCUUCAAGUGCAACUGUAGUUAUCCGCCUCACAGAGUGUGACAUGUCAAGUGGCGGCUAAAAAAAUUAGAGUUGCUGCAAAAAAAAAAUUAGAGUUACUUCACGCAGAGAAGAUAGCAGGAACAACGUGCUAGGGAUUGAAAUAGGCAACACGGCCGUGCUAAUUGUAUGUCUUAAGUAACACUUUUUUUUAUGUACCUGAUGCACCCCUCAUAAAUUUACCUGACGCACUUGUUAAUUUUGUACCGAAUUGCUAUGCUAAUUUCCUUUUGACCCUGAUGCCAUUCUUAUCCAAGUGUGCAUGUUUCAGUUUUGAGCCUACGUUACCGAGUCAUCCUGUUCGACGCCCGCAGGCGACAAACAGGCGAGGCGACUCACAGGGGCACUGGGCCUGCCCACUAAGUGUACUGUAGCUGAUGGCGCACUUUAGAAGAGGGGUUACAGUAGCCGCCAGGUGUACAGCAGCGGCCGGUUCACUGUGGAGACCCAAUUUUUUUUUCUGUCAGCUUUUUUUAUUUGCCUUCCUGAUUUAGUUUUCCCUAUGGGCUUUCUCUUCUUGAAUUUUUUUCUCUUUUAUAAUUUCCUGUACUAUACACCUUUUUAUAAUAUAAGGCGACUAUUAUUUAACAUACACACCGAAUAUUGUUUUAAUAUAUGUCGAAUAUCUUUUUAUUACAGUGAACUUUCCAUCAUAUAUGUUGAACUAUUUUUAAAUUCAAAUUGGAUUUUUAAUAUAAAUUGAACAUUUUAAUAAUAUUUCACUAGAAAAAUUAUACUGCAAGGUGAUUGUUUUUAAUAUAUAGUGAACAAUUCUGUACUAUAUAAUCGACAUUUUUAUAAUACACCAUGAACCUUUUUACAAUACAUAGUGAACUUGUUUUAAUAAAUGCUGAACUAGUUUUUGAAAAAAAAACACUGAACUUUUUUCUAUUAUACUGUGAAAUAUUUAUUAAUAUGCAAUAACCAAUAACAAAUUGUUCAUCAUGUGUUAAAAAUCCCAAACAAACAAAUGUACAACGUAUAUUAACAAAUUGGUCGACAUGUAGUUGAAACAUUCACCAUAUAUUAAUAAAAGAAAUGCAAAAAUUAAAAACGAAAGAAAAACUCAGGACAAAUAGCAAGAGUAAACCAAACAACAAAGAAGCCGAAAGAAAAAACAAACAAAAACCAACAAAAAAGGAACGCAAAAACAAAACAGCAAUCAAGCAACACGCUGCCACAAACUGGGCCGGCCCACCUGUGGGCGGUUCCAUUGAAGCCACUCCUAUUUAUCGCUGCAGAGGUUAUAUAGGAUCGGGCGUGACUAUAUCUCACUUACAGAGCACCUAUGUCCCGCUUGACAAAUACCAGCCCAGCCCAGCGCAAACCGGAGCAGCGCUCCUUCACUCACCCGCGCGUGCGAGGACGAAGAGGGUUGGUCAUGCUGACAUCAUCCCAAUUUAUAUUUUCUUAUUAUUGUUUUUAAUUUUUAAUAUAUUUUAAAUGUAUAUAUAUAUAAUUAAUUAUUAUUUUUAUCAAACCAUGAAUUUGAAAUAUGCUAUACAAUAUAUAAAUAUAUUAGUACAAUUAAAAAAAUUUCAGGAGAUGAAAAAAAUGUUCAAAUGCUUUAAAAACAACGCAUAAGAAAUUUUGAGAUAAGUUUCUACAAUGAAAAAAUUAGACCUGUGUUAAAGCAGAGAAAAUCAUUGAAAUCCGGCAAACAAAAAAAAUAAAAAUGAUUAAUAUAAAUAAAUAAAAGACCAGUGAAAACAAAGAAAGGACAGAGAAAACCAAUGAAAAGGCUAAAAGAAACAAUGAAAACCCAGAAACAUACGAAGAAAACCUAUGAGAAAAACUGAAAAACCGGGGAACUUGUGAAAAUAAAAGAAAAAACACAAAAAAGGGAGAAAACAAAUGAAGAUAACUGGCAAGGAAACAAGGAAACCCCGAACAAAGAAAAAGAAGGAAGAAAACAGAAAAUAUAUAGGGAAGGAAACCGAGCUAAUGAAAAAAUUCUGAAACAAUAGGUCGGCCCAGUAGCUAAACCACGGUAAAAAGGCUUCAGGCGAGACGGUAGGUGCACUCGCCCAUAAGCUAGAUAUAGGUUUUGUAACCUCGCGUCAAGGAUGUACCGGUGGGCCGGUCCUGUGAUGCCACUUGGAAUUACUGGAUGGUCCAAAUUUUUGGUAUUUUCCUUUUUAAGGUUGCUUCAUUAUUUUGUUUUAACUAUUCUAAAAAAAGUUGAAAAUAUUUAAUAUACAUGUUUUCAAAAACAUGCAUUACUUCAAAAAAUAUAUCAUCGAGAAACAGAAUUUGUUUUAACCCAAUGUAAUUGUUUUAGUUCGCAAAAGUUAAAGGAAAUGUUGAUACCUUUCAAAACUUAUGCUUCCUACAUUUAAAAAAUGCUCAUAUAUAUCAAAAAAUGUACAUGGGAUGUUUAUACAAUCUAAAAAAAUGUCCGUGUAAUUCCAAAGAAAUGAAACAAAAAAUGCUUCAGAUGUAUAAGAAAAAUGUACGAUUUGAUAGUAAGAAAGUAGACUUUGAAACAUAUAUUUUCAAAUUUUUAUCAUGUAUACAAUAUAUAAAAACGUUUUACAUGUAUAACAAGAAUGUACAAUGUGUAUGAAAACAAUAGACAUAAAAAUAUAUAUUUAAAAGAGUGUUAAUCAUAAUUAACAAUGUUAUAUAUGUAUGGAAAAUAUUAAGCGUGUAUAAAAAUGUUUCAGAUGUAUAAGAAAAAUGUACGAUGUGUACCAAGAAAAAUAGACAUCAGAACAUAUAUUUGAAAAAAUAUUCUUGUACAUGAAAAUUUUGAACCUGUAUAAAAGAAUGUUUUCAACAUAAUCCAAAAAUGUACAAUGUGUACAAAACAAUAGGCAUCUAAACAUAAAUUUGGCAAAACAUGUUGAUCAUGUAUUCAAAAAACAAUUAACAUAUAUUAAUUUUUUUAAGUAUAUGAUAAAUGUGGACACGUGUAAGAAAAAAGAAAGAAUAUCAGUAAAUUUAGUGCGAAAGAAUGGAAAUAAGUGAAAACUGAGAAAGAAAGAAAGUAUGAUGAAACAAACGAAAACAAAGAAAAUGAAAUAUAAGUAAGGAAAAAAAUGAAAGACUGAAGAAAAUCCAGUAAAACAUAGAAAGAAACAAAACAAAAUAAGAGAAAAACAAAAGAAAAAAAACCAUUAAAACCGAGAAUGAAAUGUAGAAAAUCAGUGAAAAACAAAUAGAAAACGAAGAAACCGGUGAAGAAAGAUAAAAACCGAAACUAGGAAGGAAUGGAAAGGGAAUAAGGUUGUAUUGCAAACGAGCGCUCGGAAUGGGCCGGCCCAGUAUUGUUCAGCCACAUGAUUACACGAAUAAGGUUUAAGCAAGACAUAUGCUACUCUCGCCGUAAGCAAGAUAUAGCACACGCGUAUACGAGACCUCCUCUUUGGCGCCUCUGGGGUCGGGAAGCCUACCUAGCUGUCUGGGCUGGCCAAACAAAGGAAGAAAGAUCGCUCUUGUCGGGUGGGUCGCAUAGUAGAUCAAUCGGUUAAUGGUUGACCAGUCAACCGUUCACGGGAUAGCCAUUGACCAUUUGUAUUUCUUUAAAUGGAGAGAAAUUUUGUAAAAAAACUUGGAUUUUCAAAAAGUCCAUAGACUUGAAAAUGGAAAAAGUCCAAAAUAUCAUAAAAAGCUUAUCAAUUUGAAAAAAGUUCAUCAUUUUCGUAACAGAGUUCAUGAAUUUUAAAAAAGUUCAUCGAUUUUGAAAAGAAAAGUCCAAAAUUUUUAAAACAAAACUCGCCGACUUUGAAAGAAAAGUUGAUCGUGCAUUUUGAAAAAAAUGUCCAUAAAAUUGAAAACAAAACUCACCGAUAUUGAAAAAAAUCAUGCAUUUUGAAAAGAAUUAACUUUGAAAAAAAUUCACCCAUUUUGAAAAAAAUCAUGGAUUUGAUAAAAAGUUCACGAAUUUAUGAAAAUAAAAGAAAAUAAAAAGGUGAAAAUAAUAAGGAAAGACCAAAUUAAACCGUUCGGAAAACCAGAAAAAUAAAAAACAAUAUCAGAACCUUCUAGAAGCUUCACAAACAAAUCGUAAGGUUCUAGAAGCUUUACAGAAUGGGUUGGGUCUUUUCACGAGAAAAUAAAUAGCGUUGCUGGUCUAUUUCACCCGUAUGUGGUCAGAAAGAAAAAGCUAUGUCCGCGGACCCUGUUAGCUAGCUGUGUCGUAGGGGGUGGGCACACGUUUGCUGAAACUCCUUUAAACGGUGCUACGGGCGCCAAAUAGAUUUUGGGUAGGAUCUGCCUAUGUUAACUAGUCGCCUGAAGUUCUUCUUUAGGUCCUCUCGAGCCUGGUCAUUUAGAGCCGGUCACAAGCAGUCUUCUUCCCAAAUUGACCGGCUGAAAAUUGAAACGGUAGCACAAGCGAAUGGGAUUUCCUGCCUAUCUCUUGAUUCGAUUGAAAUCGAUGAUCUGUCUCGUCUAUAGAUCGACAAUCUGUAGGCAACCGGUAUAACACCGGAACUGCACAAAAAGUUGUAAGCACCGCCUCACGCCAUUGCAUCAGCUGACAUGGUUGCACUGUCCCGAACUGAAGACCAUCGUUCAAGUAAUUGGUGCCCUACAUGCUAAAAUUCCUCCCUCUUUAAUUUUUUUUACAGAUAUAAAAUAUAAAGCCCUACCGCUGUCAUCUCAGUUUAUUAAAAAAAUUGGAACAAAUUUGGAUUGUUUGGGGAAUAUAAUGUCAUGCACCCAAGAUUUUCAGUGGUUGAUCGUUUAAAAUCAAGGCUCAUCCUAUUUCUAUUGUACUAUCUUGUCAAGACUAUAAUACAUGGAGUUCCAAUGCAUUGAUUCUAUUUUUGUUUGGUUCAAAUGCAUUAAUUUUUCAUGGCCGCUAAUCAUGAGGACGCACUUAAGAGUGGAGAACACAGAGAUUGUUGGACCUCAAUUGUGUUGCAAGUUACUUCUCAUCAUCCAGGGAUCACUUAAGGAUUAUAUGAGCCCACUUGAUAUUCUUGAGUUUCUGAAGAAGUGCCCCUUCUAUCCUAACAAUGCUAUAAUUGCACACAUAAUUUUGUUAACCAUUCCUAUGAAUGACAGUUGCAUUUGCGGAAAUAAGCUUUUCUAAACUCAAGUUGUUGAAAUCAUACAUGUGUUCUACUAUGACAGAAGAAAGAUCCAAUGGAUUGGCAACAAUAGCACAUGAAAAGAUGUCUUCGAGAAUAUUAAUUAUGAACACUAGUUAUCAGCCCGUGCUACAGCACGGUCUAGCAUCUAAAAUAAUCAGAUGACUUUGUCUGUAAAAACACUACUUGUAAAAAGCAGGUUGUUAUGAAUACCAAAACUCAAGGCCCUGUAGGCUGUAAGGGACUUCUGAAUGAGAAAUGGGGGAUUGCAAUCAGAAACUGUAUUUCACGAACAUCAUAUGAUAUAAUUUUUCUCCUCCAAGUUUUGGAGGAAUUAGACGAUGAAAUCGAAUGUCAUGCAAUGUUUUCUAUAAGAGUGUGAAUAUAACUUCUAUCUUUAUCUGUUUUCUCUUUUAGCAGGUAGCACAUAUUUUUGAGGUAAUUCAUGUCUUUUUUCCUACGCAAAAUUUAAACACUAAUUUCAAAGGAAUGCAUGCGUUUGAUAUUCUUGUAUUGGUCGACUGGCCAUGUAAUUGUAAUUCAGUCUGCCAGUUAAAAAAUGUGUUCCAAAGUGGCCCUGUAUAUUGAUACGAUAUAUUAUGGUAGAUUAGAAAAUAUAUUGUUUGCCUUGGUUUAUUUCUGACACUUCAGUUAUUUUUUUAUUAGACUUUUCACGUAUUUAUUGUUAUUAGAUUGACCUACAAUAUUUUUGGUGACUGUUUGACUAAAAUAUGCAUUACCCUAAUUUUGUGUGACCUAAUUAAAUAUAAACUAUAUUUAACAUUCUAAAUGAAGUAUCUUUUUUGUGUGUUCUAAGUGACAUCUUUGUAUUUUAUUUUGGUUCCUAGUUACACCAAACACAACUUGUGGAUAUUACAUAUGGCUGUGGUUUUUUUUAUAUCACAUGCAGAUUUUUUUUAGAAUGAUCACGUAAGGCUGUUGGAAGAUAGAGGCCGA
Molecule: long non-coding RNA, 55699 nt
Filed under: Triticum aestivum (bread wheat)
Lineage: Eukaryota; Viridiplantae; Streptophyta; Magnoliopsida; Poales; Poaceae
Description: long non-coding RNA (TAES_LNC019954)
Source: RNAcentral